GGAGGGUCAAAAUAUCUCUUCAAAGCUUAAUUGAUGCCAAUCACAUUAAUUGUGAUGCCCAAUAAGGAUUCUUUGAAGAGGUCACGCAUAAUGCAAAAAUAUGAGACUCUAAGAAAAGAAAAGGAAUAAAAUAAUUAUAUAAAUACAAAUAUACAUGACCUAAAGGAAUGCAUCAUGUCGGGUACGGGGAACUAAUGUUCGUGACUCAAUUUUCCCUUUAAUAGAGGGAAUACGAACAUGCUAAGGUUAGAGAGCCAAACUCGUCCAUAUCUCAUACUCAAGGGGUAAUUUCCCUAUCUAAUCAAGCAAACGUACUACCCUAAUUCUAAUUUUCCCUAUAUGAAAUGCAAAUCUAAUGUCAUGUCUCAUGCAUAGGAUUAUAUAAAGGAAAAUAUAAAAUAGGGGAUAUGGAUAUAAGAGGGAAUAUGGGAUAAGGGAUGUGUGUGUAAAGGGAAUAUGGGAAAAAUUACGUAUAUAUAAAGGGAAGUAUGGGAUAAAGGUUAUAUUAUAAAGGGAACAUGGAAAAAAAUUGAUAAAAGACCCUAGAAAAUGAAAAAUAUGAAAUGAAAUGAUUUUAUCAUACAAUCAUGAUCUAACGCUCGAAGGGCUCCUAAGGGUCUAGCGUUGGACUAGCCUAUAUUUCUACUUCCUCACUAGCGUUGGACUACUGAAAAAUCGAACAAGGAAACCACAACUAGCGUUGAACUAGUAUAGCAUCGGGAAAUGAAUCACUACUAGCGUUGGACUAGUGUGAUAUUACAUCAUACAUUAAUUAUAACUAAACCAAUAAUAUAAAGCAAGUAAACACAUAAUAUCACAUAAACAUAUAACACGUAAUCAUGAUAUCUAAAUGCGAGACCCUAAGAAAGCGGAUAACACGUAACACAUAAGCAUGCAAGACAUACUAGGCAAAUAAAGCAAACAAGCCCUAACUAUUAUAUUGGGAAGGGCCCUACUACAAUCUAAAAAGGGAAAUAAAAUAAAUAAUUAAAAGAAAUACCUACCUAUUACAAUUGUGGCAUUUAAUUGCCUUCCCAAAUAAUUACAAAUUAAAAUUAAAUAAAUAUUAAAAAAAUUGGAAUAAAUAAAGCAUAUAAAGAAAUGAAAUAAAACAUUCAAAAGGCAUGUAAUUAAACACAUAAUGUCACAUAAGUGCACAUAGGGUCAAGUAAAUUAGAAAUAAGGGAUAGAGUGUACCUCCCUUGAGUUGGGGCCUUAAUGACACGAAUUUACUAUUUACCCUCCAAAAUAACAAAAAGGGUCAAGGCACCACUUUAAUUAACAAUAAAUGAAAUAAAAACUAAACACGAAAUGAAAAUUUAAACACAAAAUGGAAUCACUUAAGGUAUUCACAUAAAAUAAACCAUUCAAGUAUUAAAGCAAACAAAGUCCUAAGUAGAAAGUUUUAAAAGUUAAAAAUGAAAUACUAAAAUUGAUGGCUUAAGAUGAGACUUAUCAAAAUCAAAUGCUAAAAUUCACGAAAAUAAAUCAAAAAUCACUUGUUGCAAUUAAACAACAAAAUACUCAAAAAUUUCACUAAAACCCAAAUCAAAAUCAUAAAUCCCUCAAAAAUUAUUAAACCUCAAAAUUUCAUUCUAAAAUCCACUAAGAAAUUUAUCCAAACGGUAUGUUAAAAUGUACUAAAGGAAAAUUGGAAUUCAAAAGGACAAGGUUGAUCAAAUUUCGAAUUAUUUUGGUCAUGAUAACAUCACUUUAAGACAACAGGGAGCAAAGUGCAAUUCUUGGAAGGUUUUCAUGCAACAUGCAUGCAAAUGCUACGAAGGAAACAAGUUUCUGCAACAAAAAACUUUCAACUACUCAUGAAGCUUUCGGCAAUGUUCUGCUGCAUAUCUGCAGCAUCAAACCACGCGAAUGAAUUGCCCAAAAAAUGCACAAAAACUCAUUUUUUAUCAACCUAACUCACACACACGUCUCCACUCAUCCAUCAACUGAGAAGAUCCAGGCCAGGAAAGCGAGGAAACACAAGAAAUGCAACAAAACACUUAGCAGCUUUUCGCACCGAGAGUCUCCAGAAAUAAUCCAAGUACAAACCGAAAGGACAUGAAAUCCAAGCCAAAUUUGUGCAGCUGAUGCCUUUUUUAUUUCGAAAACUAACGCCCAAGAUACACAAGACAGAAAAAAGGCAAGAGAAUCAUCAAAGAGCAAACAUGAUAAAGCUGUGGAACAAGCUCAGCAAACCAGCGGCCAAAAGGUUUGACAGUUCAUGCAUCUUCUUAGCAGGAACUUCCUUUUCUUUCGCUGGUUUCUUGAGCUACAAUUUCUGGGUUUUUGAAUGCAAUCAUUUCCAUCUAAACAUUGCUAACGACUCAACCAACAACAGCUUGGGCCAAAGUAACAAAUUCACCAAGCAUUCUCUCCACUUUGUGACCCCAAAAACUGAAAAUUUCAUAGAAGAAAAAACAGGCAUGCGAAAUCUGGAAAUUUCUGCAACUUUCAACCAUGGCAUUCUUCCAUUUCAUCACGCAAACAAGUCCAACGAAUAUCAAAAUUUUGGGUCAAAACAAACGAACGAUACAAGUCUCAAUCAUCAUCUAAACCAAAUACUAUGUUUUGUUGCAGGAUUAAAGCAGAAAACCUGGGUUGACCGACAGUAAAAGAAAGAGAAAAAAAUGCAGCAGUUUUAACAAGAAAUCCAAUCCCAAGUACUUGUCAAAUUCCUAAACCCAUCACCAAGAUGUGGUGCUAAACAUCUAAAAGGAAAAAUCUGAAUUGAGGGACUUGCAGGAACCCAGAUUCAUUCAUUGGUUUCAAGUUCUGGGUUUUCAUGUCAAAAUCAAACAAGCACCAAACUCUCAAGACAAAACAACAAUCAAACCCAAAUCUUGUACUUUGCCCGCCUUAGAAUUCGUCAGACCCAAAUUACACACACAAACGAGAACCAAAAUGCAACCUUUAGUUUAUUAACUAUACAUACUUCAUAUACACAAGAAGUGAGAUGAUUGCAUAUGCUGAUUACUAAACACAAGAGAUGUUCAUGACUUCUAAAUUGGAUUCACAGUUUCGGAUACUCGUUAAAUGGACAAAGAAGCCGACACCAAGCCUAUCAAUUAGCGCAACAACAUCACAAAGUAUAAUCACAGUCAUUGUCAACCACAGUCAUGAUCAUUCAUUCGAAAAAAAUGCAGCCUAGACGAAGCUUUUUCUGCUGCAAUUUUCUGAGUUCUUUCUUCCGCAACUUCAUCAUUCGACUGGGAUGUCUAUGCGAAAUAAAUCAAACCAAGCCCACUGAUUCAUUUAACCAAACCCAAAUGCUAUAAUCUCAAACCCACAUUGUUAACUUCACCCAAAAUACGAUUGCCCAUUCCCAGCAGAUUCAAUGGUGCAACUGAACAUGAAAGCGCAGCAAAGACAGAAAGAAAGAAUCUUGCGCUAGACAUGUACAUGGAAAACCAGUCAAACAACAAACAAAUCACGAAAUUCAAGCAACCCAAGAGCUCAAGCAACCCAAAAAGAAAAAUGACCCCUUCGACAUGGCUGUAACUCUGGAUAAACAAACAGAGGAGAUUUGGAUAUAAAAAAAACAAAAGAAACUGGUUCUGCCUUUUGAAAGCAAAGGACCGGACCUGGAGAUUAACAACUGUGUAGCCAUGACAUCAAGAUCUAACCUCUAACCAUGUCUAAUGCUCUUUUAAUAUAUCUUUUAGCCAUUAAUACACAGAUCUUUGAAUCAAAAGAGAUCAGGAAAAGGAGCUAACAGAUAAAAUAUGAGUUGGCUAGAUCAAGAUGCAUUUGUUACCUCCUGAGUCUUCUCUCUCGGCUUGUUCCAGAGUCUUCCUCCCCAAGCUCUCCUUUUUCUCAGCUUUUCCGUUUCUCAGCCCGUAGCUCUCUGUUUCCUUUCCCGCCGCCACUCUCAACUGCUCUCUUUCCUUCCCAAGUUCUUAUCAUGUUCCGCCCGUAACCUUUCUUGCUCUCCACAACUUUCUCUUCCUCCCUCGUUUCUUUCUUUUCCAGCUUGGCCGCUCUCUCUCUCCCGCUUAGGUUCUCUCUCAGAAACCCCCCCGUCACUUUUCCUUCCUUCGUUCUCUCUUUCUUCUCAGUUUCGUCCCUCAGCCACCACUCCUCUUACUUCUCCAAAAUUUUUUAGCCGUCACACACUAUCCCCUCUUCUAAAACCCUUAGUUUUCUAUUUAUACCAGAUUCAAACCCUUAAAACUUCAUCUCGAUGGUUCAUAAACAAUCUCAGCUCACCGCCUCUCUCUUAGCCCUUGAUUUUGUUUCAUUUCUAGAUUCUUCUUGGUUGUUAGAUGGAAGCCAAGUAGAAUGAGGUUAGCAUGAUCCAACGGUGAAGGAAAAUCAAUGGAAAAAAGGAUGGAAAAUGGGAAGGAACUGAGCGCUGCAUUUUCUGUACUUCUCGCAUGCUGCUGUUUGGAAAAUGUUUGUUUUGUUUGCAGCUCACGCGCCUCCUCUUUUUUUUUUUUUUAAUUAACAACAAUAAUAAGGAAACAACAAAUCGAAAUAAAACAAGAACAACAAAAGUCAAAUAAAAGCUAAAAAAGAAAUUUUUUGAAUUUAAUUGAUGAUUUUUCCUUUUAUUUUACUAAUCUUCACUUAAUUUAGAUAAACGAAUAAUAAACUUUUUCUUAAAUUGAGUCUAAAAGAAAUAAAACAUAUUUUUUGUCAACAAUUUUCUUCUUCUUUUUUUUUGAAUAAAUUUUAAUGCUAAAAUGUCUCAAAUAAAAAUUAAGAGACUCAUGAGCGAAAAUGAAUAAUAAUUAUCAUUUAAAAAAUAAAAAUAAAUAAAUAAAUAAAGCUAAAUUAAAAAUUUGGUAUCUAAAAUGCUAAAAUGUCUAAAACAAAAUCAUGAGAUUAAUAAGUAAAAAUAGCUAACAAUUAUCAAUAAAGAUAAAAAUAAAUUAAAAUAAAAUGAAAUAAAUUAAAAUUUGGUGUCUACACUAUGAGAUCUAAAUUAUUUUAAUUGUUUUUUCCAUUUAUUGAUAUUUAUAUGUUUUCUACUUUUAAUUGUUAUAGCUCUUGUGUAUGAUUGAUUAGUGCGUAAUAAUUAAUUAUUCACAUAGGCUAUUGUGCUAAUUAGGGGUAAUUGAAUCCGUAAUUGUUCGAUUAUCUCCAUCCCAGUAGCAACUGGCGUAAUUGGGUUUAUGUCAGGAAAACAUACUAUUUAACUUAAACAAACUCUCGUAGCAUGUUUGUUAGUUAGGAUUGGGCCUUUCUAAAUCUUAAUGCAAACCAGAAAUUAAAUCAUAUGGUCGUACCUAGGGUUGUUUCCGGGUUAGAGAAAUAGUUAACGGUCAUAUCUUAACUAUCGAGAAAUUAAGGAAGGGUUGGUUGUUUAUCGCGUGCAUGACAACUAUAACCAAUCUAUUAAUAAAUGUUGGAAUUAUCUGUGAAUCGAUGAUCAGUGCAUGAACCAUUUCUGAAGUGUACCCUUGACUAGAGUUCUCACAAUUAUUUCUUUUAAUUAAUUAUUUUCUGCAUUUACUUUAUUUAGUUAGCAUUUAAUCUUGAAAACCCCCAUUUGUCUUGACUCGGAAGGAAAUAAAUUUUUCUCCAGUCCCUGAGGAGACGACCCUGCUUGCCAUUGUCUACUAGUUAGUGAAUUUAGUCAGAUAAUUAAUUCAGGUAUAUCGGAUUAAACAAACUCUUCGAAAACAGGGUGAAUCAAGUAACCCAUUGCAUACCUAGAGUCCCUGCUCCAGUACUUAGAAUUGAUUAUUGACUGCUUUUGGUGGUAGUUAGGUUUUAUUUAUUAUUAUUGCACAGGUUGGGUACUUGUCAAUUUUUGGCGCCAUUGUCGGGGACUAGUGCCUAAUUAAUUUGUUUCUUUUUUAUUUCAUCUUGUUUUCAUUUUUUUUAUUUUUCUCUUAAUUUUUUUUAUAUAUAGUUUAUGGCUGCUAAUAUUCCGUAUUUUGGUGAUAGAUUGGAUUUUAUUUCUAGAAGGGGUUAUGAGACUCGUACUUUUUCUAAUGAUCAAUAGGCUGUUGCAAAUUGUGGAACUUAUUUUGCCUCAGAUCAUUCAACCGACAUAUGCCAUACAUUUCAAGAUGGUCUAAGUGCUCAAAUCGAUAUUUUUGGAGAUUUUCCACCUCAAUAUCAAACGUGGUAUGACCCUUAUUCAAACGAGUAUGAACAAGGAUGGUGGGAUGAUUCCAAUUUAAUUAUGAACAAAGGCCAAUAGAUUUUCAACAGCUAGAGUCUCAAGAACCGUCAUCCAUGUCAGGUAUGUCUCUUGAAGAAAUAGUUGAAUUAAUAGCUACUAACACAUAUCAACUUCAACAGGAGACACAUCAACUUCAAUAGGAGACACAUUAAUUUCAACAGGAGAUACAUCAAUUUCAACAGGAGACACAAAGGUUGAUUAAAGAGAUGGAAGAUGGAAGGCGUGAAUUGGCAUCUACAAUAAGCAAAUUGGUUUCUCCAUUUUAUGAAGAAUUACCCUCACAAACCAACAUCGAUUUUAAAGAAGAUGAGAAUAUAAUUAUCCUGACAAGUGACAUGAAAUUGCAAGAGUCUCAAGAAGAAGAAUCUAAAGAUAAAGUUGAAAAGGAAAUUAAAGUACAAGAAAUGGAACCCCAAUAUCAAAUGGUUCAAGCGAAUGAAUCCAAUGAACAAUCUCCAAAUGCGGUAACAUCUCCUCCAUUUCUUAAUCAAUACUUUCAUAACUCUUAUUCUUCAAUUCUUGUUAGUGAGAUUGACUUUAUUAUACCAGAAGAUUUUGAAUUUCAUGACAGGAAUAAGUUAAGAGUUGCGAUGGUAAAAUAUCUCGAACCAAUAAGUGCUCGUGAUGGAGGAGUGAGUGAAGAAUUAAGGUCAUUACUUGCUUGUUUGGUGCCAUCUACUAGUCCAUUGAAAACCGUACCUCGUGUGCUCAAUGAUUACUCUAUUUACGAGGGAUAUCAGGACUACAUAAAAGAUGAAGCACUGAAACGAGCUACACGAUUUUAUCCUCCGUGAACAAGCAUGGCAACGUCUAGCCAAAGACGUUAAACAAAGACGCUGCUUGGGAGGCAACCCAAGGCCUUUGUUUUAGUUUUCUUAUGUUUUUAGAGUUUUUGUUAAGUGUUUGUUGCAUUUAGUGAUUUAUUGCUUUUGUUGUAGGGAGCUGGCAGUUAGACGUGCCCACGCCAAGUGGUCACGUUUAAGGAAGGAGGUUUUAAUUUGGCGGACAGAAGACUACUUAGUAGUUAGAUGUGCCCACGGCAAGUGGUCACGCCUAAGGAAGGCAAUUUGCAUUUGCGGGCAGAAGACUCUCCGUUGCCGUUGCCGAAAUGUUAGGAAAAAAUGUGCUAAUAGUGAAAAAUAUGGAAGUGUUUGAAUGAAUUAUUAGUCCGCUGAUUCAUGAAUUUUAAUGUUGAGAUUUUGCUUAAUAGUUGAACCAUUUGCUUAUGGAUGCUGGUUGAAUAUUUUAUAUUCUUAGAUUAGUUUGUUAUAAAUUAAAAUAGUUCUUGAUCUUAAAAGCUAACUGGAGAGAUAUUUCUUGAAAAUUGCCACUAAUACUUGACAUAUGUUUUAAUUGCAUCUUGACAAUAGAAAAUUUGAGUAAUAGCCAUUGUUUGAAUUUGAUUGCUUAAUUUGUUAUUCUCAUGCUUGAGGACAAGCAUGGUUUAGGUAUGGAGGGAAUUGAUAGGGUAUAAUUUGUUAUUAAUUUUAUGGUUAAUUUUUCUCUUUGUCCUUGCCAAAUAUUGUUUUAAUUGUCGAAAUAUACUUAUAUUUGGUAUUUGGACCUAAUUACAGGUAAUGGAGCAGAAAAGUACUAAAAAGGAUGAUUUUCUUGAGAAAAUCCCGUGCACGUGGGAAGCCUUGAGAAUCCUUGCAAAUCCGGCUCCAAGAUGUGCUAAACCAACGUCUUUCCUUUCGUGACUAGUAGUUUACUAGCAUUAGGAAACAAGAAAGAAGGAAACUUCAGUAGUUGCCUUAUCUCUUUGUUUUCCUUAUUUGGUGGAAAAACCGACAAGAUGAGAGACUAGUCAUUGUUUAGAUUGAGGAGACUUGUUUUGGGGUCUUAGUAGUUUUCUUCUCCUAUUAGGUAUCUAUCAUGUGCGCCGCAAAGGCCAUAGAGGGGAACAUUUAAUUAUCCCUUUGGCUUGGUAGUUUGAGGAAUAAUUCUUAUUCCAUCGAGUUUUCUUCCUUCGAAUUUGGAGAAGAAUGCCAUCAACUAAUAUUUCUGAAUUUUCGCAUGGAUUGUUCUCCAUUGAUGGAGAACGAACUUCUUAUUUCUAAUCAAGGGGGCAACUAAUGAUUUGGUUCGGCAAUCACUGUGAGAUCUAAACCAUUUUUAAUUGUUUCCUUCAUUUAUUGGUAUUUAUAUGUUUCCUACUUUUAAUUGUUAUAGCUCUUGUGUAUGAUUGAUUAGUGCACAAUAAUUGAUUAUUCAUAUAGGCUAUUUUGCUAAUUAGGGAUAAUUGAAUCCGUAAUUGUUCAAUUACCUCCAUCUCAGUAGCAACUGGCGUAAUUGGGUUUAUGUCAGGGAAACAUACGAUCUAAUUUAAACAAACCCUCGUAACGUGUUUAUUAGUUAGGAGUGGGCCUUUCUAAUUAUUAAUGCAAUCUAGAAAUUAAAUCCUACGGUCGUACCUAGGGUUGCUUCUGGGUUAGAGAAAUAGUUAACGGUCGUACCUUAACUAUCAAGAAAUUAAGGAAAUGUUGGUUGUUUAUCGCGUGCAUGACAACUAUAACCAAUCUAUUAAUAAAUGUUGGAAUUAUCUGUGAAUCGAUGAUCAGUGCAUGAACCAUUUUUGAAGUGUACCCUUGGCUAGAGUUCUCACAAUUAUUUCUUUUAAUUAAUUAUUUUUUGCAUUUACUUUAUUUAGUUAGCAUUUAAUCUUGAAAACCCCCAUUUGUCUUGACUCGGAAGGAAAUAAAUUUUUCUCCAGUCUCUGAGGAGACGACCCUGCUUGCCACUGUCUACUAGUUAGUGAAUUUAGUCAGAUAAUUAAUUCAGAUAUAUCGGAUUAAACAAACCCUUCGGGAACAGGGUGAAUCAAGUAACCCAUUGCAUACCUAGAGUCCCUGAUCUAGUACCUAAAAUUGAUUAUUGACUACUUUUGGUGGUAGUUAGGUUUAUUUAUUUAUUAUUAUUGCACAAGUUUGGUACCUGUCAAUAUGCACAAAGAUAGACAAAAAUUGGAUAAAAUUCGACAAAGUCAAACAAAAAAUUCCAACAAAAAUGUCUACACUUACACUUUUUCAAUAUAAUACCACUAUACUACUCCCCCCCGUCCCCCCACCUAAAUCUUAUAUUGUCCCCAAUGUAAGUAAUAAAGAAUAAAAUACAAAGCAAAAAGGGACAACGAAACUUCCCUGAUCGUCAAAGGGGGGUCUCGAGCAGCUAUGACAUAGGUGAGAUUGGUAGUGUGAAGCCAACAUGGUGGAUAUUUACUGCACCCAAACCAAAAUAGGAGAUGCACAUAGAUAGUGAAAAUGGAGAUGAUCAUGGGAGGUGGCUAGCAGCGGCAACAUGGUGUGGUAGCAAUGGUGACGAGCAGAAACGGCGCGAGCAGCGGAGUUUGAGGUCCUAAGGUUGUGGUCCUGCGAUUGGAAAAGGAAAGAAAGGAAGAAAAAGGAAAGGGAGAGAAGAAGAAAAGAGAAAUAAAGAAGAAAGAAAGAGAAGAGAGAAAGAAAGAAAGAAAAAGAAAUGAAAUGAAAUUUUUUUUUGAACCACUACGUUAGAUGUGGGCACGCCUAGCUGCCCUUGAGUCUUCUAACCAACCCAUAGAAAUUAAGAUAUUUCCCCACACCUAAAUCAUGCUUGUCCUCAAGCAUGAGAACAGCAAAUCAAGCAAUCAAAUUCAAACAAUAGCUAUUAUUCAAAUAUUCUAUUGCCAAGAUACAAUUAAAACAUAUGUCAAGUAUUAGUGGUAAUUUUCAAGAAAUAUCUCUCUAGUUAGCUUUCAAGAUCAAGGACUCUUUCAAUUUAUGACUAACUAAUUUAAGGAUAUAAAAUAUUCAACCACCAUCCAUAAGUAAAUGGUUCGACUACUAAGCAAAAUUUCAACAUUAAAAUUCAUGAAUCAACGGAUUAACAAUUCAUCCAAACACUUCCACAUUUUUCACUAUUAACACAUUUUUUUCUAAAAUAUCCCCACACUUAAUUGAUUUUUUUUUUCAGGGGGACUGCUUAGUUUUUAGCCAUUCAAGCGUUUUGACGCGAACUCCGACAUUGGCCACAUGAAAGAGCCCGGUUACUCAGUCAUUAUCGUUUAAAAACCACAUACUCAUAGCUAUCAUCGUUUUUUGACGCGAAAGUCGACACUUAUGGUGAAGACCUCCUGUUACUAAGCAAGAAUACUAGCGGAGUAUAGCCGAAUACUAUUCAUAAAUAAGCACCAAAUUUAAAUUAAAAAUCGCACAAACCCGCUUCAUUUCUUAAAUAUGGAGAACUAAAAUUAAUAGUUGAACCAAUUUGCAUAAAAAAUGCUGGACAAAUAUUUACCAUACUUAGAGAAGUUAACCAAAAGGCGCAAAAGUUACAAAAUCUCAAAUAUUCACCAAAAUAGAUACCCUUAAAUUUAACCAUGUCAUACUUAACACCUUAGAGUGUAAAAUCUUAGCAAUAAAAAAUUUUGAGACAUCUAACCAUCGUUAAUCAGGAACAAUCACACAUAUGCACAAAGAUAGGCAAAAAUUGGAUAAAAUUCGACAAAGUCAAACAAAAAAUUCCAACAAAAAUGUCUACACUUACACUUUUUCAAUAAAAUACCACUAUACUAUGUCCCCUAUAAACUUUUUGAAAUCUAAUUAAACCCAUUUCGGAGAGAUAUCCAUCUAUCAAUCAAAAUUAAAAUGGGUACAAAUGACAAGUUUGGGAGAUGUAAUAUCUCCAUUUACCAAUGAUCUUCGUCUUUCCAUAUCUCACUCCCUAAAAUCUUCCUCAUUAUUCCUCAUCUUCUUCACCAAAAUCCCAAAAUAAGGAAAAAGAGGAGGCCUGGGGGUUUUGCAGGAAUGGUGUUGGUGAAUGGGUAGUGAAGACCAUAGGUUAAUAAAUCCAUAGUUAAUAAAUAUAAUGAAGAUUUCGACUAAUGUUUUUAUUGAGAUAUAUGUUAGAACAAGGCCUUAUUCAUUAGAAGAGUUAGACAGAGAGCAAAAGGGGACAAAAGUAGGCCUGUCAACGGGUCGGGUCUAGACCCGGAUCCGGACCGGAUCCGUGAAAUUUUUGCGAGUAUGGGUAGAGAUUUAAUUCCGUUUCCCGGAUCCGGAUCCGUUUUGUCAAACAAAAAAACGGGUCGGAUACGGAAUAUAGUAUUCCGACCCGUUUUAGACCCGGAUCCGGAUAUAAAUGAAUUAAUAAUUUUAAAUAUAUAUAUUUAUCAAUAUAAUUUGAUUAGGGUGAUGUAUUUUAAUAAAGUUAAUUUGAUUUCUUUUCUUAUUUGAUUUUUUCUUUGCAUUAGUUAGAAAUUAGUUUACAAAUGUAUUUUUUUUCUCAUUUUUAUUAGAAAUUAUAAAUUUUGGUAAAUUUGUUCGGGUAGACCCGGAUCCGGAUCCGGAUCCGGGACCCGCCGAAUCCGGAUCCGGAACAUAGAAUAAAAGACCCAUCUGGUAAACGGGUCGGAUCCGGAAGACAAAAGGCAGGACAAAGGAGCAAUUUAGCUUCUUAGACAGAGACUGAAUGGAACACAUAAGGAUUGGCUGUCCGAACAUCAGUCAGAAAUGAUCAAAAGAUCUUAGUCUUCUUUUUUUUCUUUUUUCCUUUCCUUUUUACGGACAGCACGGUAGCAGCCGGUCUUUUGAAAAAAAAAAAAUUGGCAUGAGGCUACCGUGCACCUGACACUUUUAAAAAUAAAUUAUUUGCUGCCUUACAGCAUAGUAGCAGGAGGCCUUUUCUAAAAAAAAAAUUCGCCUGCAGGCUAUAAUUUUGUACCAAGACAAUGGUAGAGUUACAUUUGGCGGAUAAUUUUUUUUUUUUUUUUACCUAUCCUAAGAAAUUAGCCACUUCAGUGUGAUGAUGAGGAAACGUGUGUGUGAAAUAAUGUCUCUUGUUCAAUGUGGCCAUGCAACCAUUCCUUUGGUUUACAUUUGCCACUUGCAAUUUUUAUUAUAAAUGACAGGGCGUCAGCCUGUGCAAUAAUAAAAAUAAAACCUAACUACCACUAAAAACAAUCAAUAAUUAAUCCUAGGUAUUGGAGCAGGGACUCUAGGUGUGCAUUGGGUUACUUGAUUCACCCUGUUCCCGAAGAGUUUGCUUAAUCCGAUAUACCAGAAUUAAUUAAUUGACGAAAUUUACUAAAUAGCAAACAGUGGUAAGCAGGGUCGUCUCCUCAGGGACUGGGGAUAAUUUGUUUCUUCUAGAGUUCAGUGCAUGGGGGAUUUUUAGAGAAUAUAAAAUAAUUGAUUAACUAACUAAUAAAACAACGAAUAGAAAUUAAUAGAAAUUAAUCAAUAACCAAUACGACUCUAACCAAAGGUACAACUUUUCAGACACGGUCCAUUCACUUGAUCAUCGAUGCAAAGAUAAUCCAAUUACUCAUUACUAGAUUGGUUAUAGUUGUCACACACGCGAUGAACAACCAGCCUUUCCUUAAUUUCUCGAUAGUUAAGGUACGCCCGUUAACUAUUUCCCUAACCAAGAAAUAACCCUAGGUACGGCCAUAGGAUUUAAUUACCCGAUUGCAUUAAUAAUUAGAAAAGCCCAACCCUAACCAACAAACACGCUACGAGGGUUUGUUUAAGUUAGAUCAUACGUUUCCCUAACAUGAAACCAAUCACGCUAGUCGCCACUGGUAUUAAUCAAUUGAACAAUUACGGAUUCAAUCAAUUAAUUUGGCAUUAGAUCAUUAGGUUAAUUCGAAUAUCGGGCCCUUGACAUUCAAAUAACAUAACAGACAUAAGCAAUUAAAUCAGGAAACGUACAAAUACCAAUGAAUAAAAGAAAUAAAUAAAAUUAAUUCGAUCUCACAGAUAUUUGGAACCGCGCCUUCAAAUUGGCCUUCAACUAGAUGAGAAGCUUAGCCACGCCUCAUGAGAAAAUCUCCAAGUAAUUUUACUAAGGUCCAGGCCAUCAAAGGAACUAAGAAAGAAAAAAACUAAACUAUGCUAAAAGCUAUUGAUCAGCACCCCUAGCCUCUGUACGAUUCUCCUUUUUAAAGCCGAAAGGAAGAUGACUAAUGCUUUCCUUUAUCCCAUGGUCCCCGCACGAAUUGAGAGUCCAAUUCCAUUUCACAAGCCUUUGUACGUUUCCUUUCCAAGAGCCCAAAUGAGCUUCUUAUCUCCGUGGUCCCAACGAGAUUCCCCUAUCAAAGUACGAAAAGGUAAGGCCUCUUAAUGUUUCCUCUUUUCUCGCUUCUCAUUGCUCCUAGGACUCCUAGGAUUCAAGACACUCCUCAUCAGCAAAAGAAAUGCAGUCCGUCUCUUCCUCUUCUUGUGGGCCAGGUCGAUGGAGCCUUCUUGAAGUCUCCCACUUAUGGAGCAAGUCCCUCUUUUUUUGUAGUUUCUUGCUCUAAUCCCUGAAAUUAAGUCCAAAUACCAAAUAUAAGUAAAUAUUACUAAUUAAAACAAUAUUUGGCAAGAACAAAGAGGAAAUUAAUAAUAAAAUUACUAAUAAUUAACACCCUAUCAAUAAAACAUGAAUAUUACUCUAGCUUUUGGAACCUGAAGCAAUUAUAAUAGAACGACUUUGGCCAAGAACACUGACAAUUGUAGUUGACACUCAGAAUUUUUUUUAAAAAAAACAAACAGCAUAUGAAUUUAUAAGGAAAUAGAAUAUGAUGCUUCAAGAGUUUGAUUGAGCAUUUAUUUGGGACCGUAGGCAUCCAAUGACUGAGUCGUCCAAUUGAAGAUCAAUAUGCUUGUACAGGGAAAUCUACUUGCAAAAAUUAAUGGGAAACUUUUGACCACGGAGUCUAUUUCAUUGUCCCUUGCAUUAUUGGAAGAUACAGCAUCACAACCAUUCCUUUUUCCAUUGACCAUUUGCCACUGUGAAGUCUUGGCCUGUUGGCUUAGGAUAAGAAUCCAAGACCUCCAAUGGUUGGUUAAAAGAAAUCCAUGAAAUAUUUAUUUCUCUUGUUAUAUUAGGAAUUGGUUAGUACAAAGAUUAUUCUUAUUUGAAAAGAUAUGAAGGGGACAGUUUUAUGACUCAUUACAUAAUUGAUCAAUGACCAAUAGUGAAAAAAUAUACAAAGAAAACAAAAAAUUGCCCUUUUCAUUAAUUGAUAAUCCACAAGAAUUUAGUAGCUUAAAGUGUCUUCGGUCUGUGGUAAUAUUUGUGGUAAUAUUUGGGUAUGAAAAGAUCCUCUCACAGCUACAUUUUUAUCCAAGUUCUUAAGUGGUGAUCCCAAGUUGCUAAAGGUGUUGAAAUUGGAUGGAGCUGAAUUGGACAACAUCCCAAAGCAUGUCUUCAAACUAUUUCAUCUCAAGUAUCUUAAUCUCAAGGGAACUAGAGUUAAAAUUAUUCCAAAAUCUAUUGGGAAGCUUCAAAACCUUGAACUUAUAAAUCUGACAAGAACCAAUGUAACAGAGUUGCCUGUGGAAAUUCUAAAGCUAAGAAAACUCCGUUCUCUUUUGAUAGGCGGAUUGGGAGAUUAUUCAAAUGAGUAUGCAAUUUGGGGCUGUAAAUGUCCACUUGGAAUUGGAAAGCUUAUUUGCUUGGAAAAUCUGACUAAUAUAGAAGCAGAUAGUGAUAAAAUAGUAAGGGAGAUUGGAAACCUCAUGCAGCUGCAGCGAUUAUGGAUCACAAAGCUGAGAAGAGAAAAUGGAAAAGAGUUGCUCUCGUCCCUCUUGAGGCUGACCAACCUUCAAGAAUUGGUCAUCUCCUGUAUUGAAGAAGAUGAGACCCUUGAUCUCCAACAUUCCAUCUCUCCAAAGCUUGAAUUCCUCACAUCUCUGAGAUUGAAGGGGCGUUUAGAGAGAGUACCGCAAUGGGUGACAUCACUUCAAUCCUUGAGAACCUUACGGUUGGACAAUAGUAGGUUGAGAGAAGAUGAGAAUGUAAUAGGCUCCCUCGGACAUUUGUCCAAUCUGAUAACACUUACUCUCCGUUGUGCUUAUGAAGGGGAGACAAUAUGUUUCAAGGUUGGAGGAUUUCAAAAACUCCAGCGCUUAGAGUUUGUGCAAUUAACAAGACUGAAAUGGGUGAGAGUGGAAGAGGAAUCAAUGCCUAGUCUGAGAAAUCUGCAAUUAAUUGGUUGUAAACUGAUGCAGGAGUUGCCUACGGGCAUCCAAAACUUGACCGGACUUCAAUUUCUUGGGUUCUUUGAUAUGUCUGAUGAGCUAAUGCACAAAGUACAGAUUUGGAUAAACAAAGUGCAGAUUAUCAGAUAAUUUCUCAUAUCCCCGAAGUUUGCACUGGUUACUGGAUUGAUGGUCGGUGGGAACCCAAGUUCCUCUAAGAGAAGAGACAACUCUUGCAGUUCUCAGCGCUAUCUGAUAUGCAGUUAACUCAUCUCUUCAAAGUACGAAGUCGCUUACUAGCUUUCCCUUCUGUUUCGUUGAGUUCCCGUUUGCUUUUUCCCUUCCACUGCUUGUCAUACUUGUAUCAAAUCAUAUCAUGAAAUAUCAAUUCCUCAAAAAUGUGUAUGUGUACAUAUAUAGAUUUAGAUAUUUACCAAAAAAAGAAAAAAAUAGAUUUAGAUUUUCUUUUCAAAGUUACUUCCAUCAAACAUAGAGCAGGUCUUUAUUCCAAGUCCUAUAUAAUGCGCUGUUGGAAUAGUUUACUUAUAAUAGUUAGGGAAGAGCCAGAGAAGAGUUUUUAGAGUUUUUUCCGUUGAAUUUAAUUCAGGUUCUGAAUCGUGAGUAUUAUAAUUGGGACUGUUUAUUCAUAAAUUUGCAUGUAGUUUUUUGGUACUUAGAGUUGGAUUUAUUUAGAGUAAAGUGUUAGUUUAAAGUAAAAAUCUCUAGUAUGAUGAUGAUGGAUUGUAUUACGCCUCAGUUGUACAGCUGAGCAAAGCCCUGUGGGGUUAAGUUCCCACAUCGCUUGGGGGGGUUUGGGGGGUUUAGUAGUUAAGUGCUGCGGAGCACUUCAAAAGUUGCCGGCUUUUGAAGUGUCUUCGCAGAGUCCAUUUAUCGAAACACUCAUACAAAAAACUGUGAGUUAUGAAAGGGAAAAACCUGUCUCGGGGAGUCUGGGGGGUCUUUAUCUCUUAGCAGCGGGGCACCCUGUGGGGUUCAGUUCCCACAUCGCUUGGGGGGGUUUGGGGGGUUUAGUAGUUAAGUGCUGCGGAGCACUUCAAAAGUUCCGGCUUUUGAAGUGUCUUCGCAGAGUCCAUUUAUCGAAACACUCAUACAAAAAACUGUGAGUUAUGAAAGGGUACAGCUGAGCAAAGGAGCAAAAAGAGGGAAAGAUACCGUGAAGGACGGGUGUAUGGAAAGGGGGUCCCACACCAUGUGACUGAUGUGUAGGCUUCUGUUUAUCUCGGCCGUUGGAUUGGAUGAAAACUGGGGUCUGCGUCACAUCCAAGGGUCCAACUGUAAAGUUUUUAAAGAAACGAGUAAUUGAUUGUUUUGUUGAUGAUGGAUGCUGGUGCUCUUUCUAAUUUCUAUAGCUUUUUCUUGCCGACACAUAAUGGUAGAUCUGGUUAUUUGAUCGGCUUCGGCUGUCAAUUUUCUUCAUUUUCAUUUUAGAAAUUUUCCUCUCCAAGAUUUGAAACCAAAACUUUUUGCCAGAAAGUCACUACUAGUAGUUAGUUUUGUUCUUGUCCUAAAUGUGGGAUGGUCUCUCAAGUUUUGAUAAGUCAAAAAGAGAGUAGUAAAUAAAUAAUAAAUCGAAACACUAUAUUCAUCUCCUACAUCAAACUAUUUAAGCACAAAAAAUUAAACCUCUAUUUUUAAGUUCAAUAUAUGAUUGGGAUUGAUACACAUACAUCUCGCAUAUCUUAUAAAUUACUUCUUUGUUUUUGGGUCAAUCCACAUUUUUGUUUCUUCUGUCUUUUGCAAGUGUGGUCCAAGUAGGGCGAGUCAAGUAGUACUAAUUUUUGUACUAUAUUAGCCAAUAAUGAAAAUCAUGUAACUGAGUUUAAAGAUCAUGAAAAAUCAUAUAAUUGAGUAACUUUAACCACUAAAUUUGGGUUAAAGAACUGGGGUAAGUAAAAGGGCGGCUUGCAGGGAUGGGAUAGGCUUAGCCUCUUAUAUUGGCCAAAGAUAACCGAUAGUCUUAUAACUCAUACGGUGACACAGAUGAUCGGCAAGUAGUGAUAUAGAUAAUCUAUGAUGAUCUACAAGUAGUGACAUAGAUGAUCUACGAGUACCAAGCAAAUAUUUAAGUAUUAAUCUGUCUAACGGGGGCUCAUAGUGUACUCGUUAAGUUAUGAUAAGAUACAUUUCAGGUGUUAUAUUUUUGAUAAUAUAAUAUUAAUUUGGAAAAACAAAUAAAUAUAAGGGGUAGUAGGCAAGAUUAAAUAGAAAAAUUAUAUAAAUAUAAAAGAGAAUAAUAAUUGUUAGUAUAUAUAUAUAUAUAUAUGGUAGUUUAGGUGGAUGCUACGUGUCGUUCGAAAAACCCUAAUAUAGGACUUGGAAUAAACGAAAUAGAGCAGGUCUUUAUUAAGAGGGCAGUCUUCAUUAAGUUAAUACUGAAGUGUACGAAGCAUAAUAGAUGGAGUUAAUGAAAUUAGUGAAGCUUCGAUAACACCUUUUCAAAGUCCAAACUUGAAGGUUCAGUUGCAUUUUUUUUCCCUUCUAAAUUCUGGUUGUAUGCAUAUUUUUCACAAAUGCUUGACUGUAGAAUAUAUAUGAUUUUAUUCUUCAGCAAGUUUCUCAAUUGUGGAUUUGCAAAUGAAACAAUUUUUCAAAAAAAAUAAGGGAUAUGUCAAUAGAAAACAUGCAAAAUAAUAUCAUAAAACUGUUUAAACUUAUUUACAACUUAUUCCUUUCUAAUGAAGUAAAAUUACAGUCACCUUACUCAAAGGAAAUUAUAAUACUUUUCUCUAUCACACAAAAAGUUGCAAUCAAGAAACAUAAUAAUAAAAUAAUAAUAAGACCACCGACUUGAAAAGAGAAAUAUAGAAAACAAAACAAAACAAAACCCAAAGGGAAAAAAGAAGGAAGAAAGUGAAGGGUUUCAGGUAGACGAUCAUGUUCUUGUAUCAAAUUUUGCCAUGAUUUAUCCAUUUUUUGUUGGCAAUUUAAAUGUAGUAUGAUGUGCUUGUUAUCAUAUGCCAAAUUCGUACACUUCAAGAUUGUAAGAAUUUGAUUGUCAUUCUCAUGACAAUCUCAAGAUUGUCUUUCCAUGCCAACUUUCUCCUCUGCCGCUGGUUUUAUUUAGCCUCAUAGCUAUAAAUUUUAGAGACAAUUAAUUGGAACAACACAAAAUGGAAUUCUAAAUUACCCAAGAAUGUAUUGUUGGAUUGUCUGUGAAAGAUACCUUUUUUUUUCCCAACUUAGUAAACCAAAAUUUCAUCUAUGUCAUUCAAAGCAUAAAUGGAUAUUUAUUCUUAUUUAGAAAAUGCACGCGCGCGCUCGAAACUUGUCUGAAUUAUGAUCAACUAAGAUUAGCUAUUUUGAUUUUAUGAAAUCAAAGUAUAAUGAAUAAAUAAUAACAUUACAAUUAAAAAAAAAGCAAAUUUCAUGGAAUUAAAAGAUGAUAAACCAAAAUUGAUGGAUUGACAUUGCCCGAACUAAGGUUUGAUUGAGUAAGGUGUCCUCAUGGCUUCUACUUUUUAAUCCUCCUAACAAUUAUUGCUACAUUUUAAUUGUCAUCGAGGAUUUUUCUUAGUUAUUUUAUGAAAUGUAAGGGAUAAAAAAAUUCAUUUUAUUAAAUGUGAAGGACUAUCAAUUAGAUUAUGUGAAAUAUGAUUUGACAAUUUUUUCCCUCAAACAUGAUCACGUGCAGGGCACGUGGUGAAUUCCGAAAAAAAAUUAGUUGGAAACCUAGGUAGGGACAAAAUUUAACUGAUAUGAAUUUAUAAAAGACGUAAAAUUACUUUUUUAGAAUGAGAGACGGAAAAAAUCAUUUUACAAAAAUGUGAGUAACGAUUUCAACGAUUUUCCGUAUCAAUUAUAUUAAUUGCAUUGCCCGGAUUCGUUGUACCCAAAUGCCUAUGAGUACAAGCUUCUACCAGUAUACGAUGAAUAUAUAAAAAGAAAAAUAAUGUUGUUCUUUUCAUUUUUUUCCUAGCACAUUGUAAUGUUUCCUAUAUAUAUAAAAAGGAGUUUGUAAGUGAUUGUUGAAAAAUUUUCAUCUGUUAUCUUUAGAGAUAAUUUAGGUAGGAAAAAAAUCAAAUACAAGUGAUUAAGCCAAACGUGCAACAUUAUAAUGUAUAGUUGAGUUGGGUUUGACUAUUGUGUCCUCCCAUUUACAAUUGGCUUAUAUUCCACGUGAUUAUCAAGCAUUUAAGUGGUGUUUAAACCACUUACAAAUGUAAUUGCAAUCCUCUCCAUCUUCUUUUAUAAUUGUUGGGUAACUUUUAUAACUACAAUAAUAGAGGGUCUUAAUGCUAAAGAUGGUUGGUUCAGGAAGCACUUAAUAAUCAACAUGAUUGAUUUUGGUUCAUAUUUUCAAUCCAUUACAAGUAUAAUUGUAGUGCUCUUCAACUUGAUAAUAAUUGAGGCUUUAAAUACUGAAGAAUGUUGCUUCAAGUGCAUGUGCUCAAUUUUUUGUUGCGGGUGUUUAGAUAGGUAUGCUCAUUUACUUUUUCUCUUUCUGGAGUUUUGGUUGUUUAGCUAAUAUAAUAAAAACUGUGAGUUUUCUACUGCAAUAUUUUCUCAAUAGCUAUUGUGUGAAUAUGGAAAUUUCUUUAUGGAAUACUUGAUACAUACAUAUGAAUAUCCAUAGGAAACUUUUUAUAUCUUUUAACUAUAUUUCCAAAAUCCGAUGUUCGUGGCUGUAGGUGGUUAAACUGUGACUAAAGAUUAUCUAUUGACUACAAUUUUAUGACCAAGGUAGGACCUAAAUUUAACCUUAUAGUUUAAGUAUGUUAAUUGUUGAUUGAAUAUGGCUAUGAUUAUGUUAUAAUGGUAUAGGGACAAGGAUAAUGAUAUUUUUGUUAUUGUUAUUAUGGUAUGGUGUGAUUAUCUACUACAAUCCUAUUUCUUUUACUUAUAAAUUUUUUUCCUUUAUAAGUUUGUUGAUUUGGCCAAUUUACUUAUAAUUUCAUGCACUUCAAUUGAUUCAAUUAAACUAAUUAGCAUGCAGUUCUAAUUAAAUCAAUUAUCGCAUAGGUCAAAACUCCUAUGCUUAGCGCGGCUUUCCCCCUAGUAGUACUAAGCAUAGUUAUUGAACCCGGCCAGCCCGGCGAUCGAACCGGUGAACCGGACAUUGCACCGGAUUUCGUAUAAAAAUUUUAUUCCUUUGCUGGAACUUGAACCAUUUUAUUCCUUUGCUGGAACUUAAACCUUGGACCUUUGGUCCUUGCAGCAAGGCGCACACCACCAAGCUACUUCACCAUUUGUUGAUUAAGUAGCUUACUCAUAAUAUAUAAACGUUUUGUCAACUUUAUCUUUUUUUUUAUUUCUCUAAAACAAAUUUAUUUGGAAUCUUUUAAUAAAAAUUUAUGACCCCCAAACUCUAUAAGUUAUAAAAUGGACUUAAAAAAUGACAUAUUACAUAAUUCAUUUUAAAGACAAAUAUUAUUUUUAAUAAUUUUUUGCACUUAAAAUUCAUAAAUAAGUUAGAUAAUUACACUAAACAUAGAUAAAAUUUUAUACUUGAAAUUUGGUAUAUUACUAAAUAACUUAAUAUUGUAUUGAUUCUUAUAUGAAUUAAUUAUUUUAUAGCAAAUUAAAUUAUAUGAGCAUUUGCUAUGACAUUAUUUCUUAUAAUUUAUAUCAUAUAUCUUAUAUCAAAAAUUAUAAAAUAUAAUAUUUAAAUAUAUUUAGUGAUCCACCGGUACAACCACUCACCCACUGGUUAAACUAGUAAUCCGUUGACCCACCUCGUUCGCCGAGUUCCCUCCUGGGUUGGGUUUAAUAACUAUGGUACUAAGUUUAUGCUCUUCUUUUUUUUUUGUCUUAACGGCACAUGUCUAACCUACUCCUACUCUUAUGGAGCGGGAGAGAGGGGAAUCUACUCUAUGGGAAGGCCCAACUGAGCCAGGGGAACCUGACGGGAACUGAACCACUAUUAGAUCAGACGGGUGCUGUGACGACCCCACUUCCCCCUAAGGCGAACCAAAGGGUUUGGCGGGCCGCCUGCCCAACUCUCGCCGGGACUCACGACAAAACUCAAGCAUGAAUAUAAUCGAUGGUUCUUAAAAGCUCAAACGGAGUAUAAUAUAUCCACCAGUCCAACAUACCAAAGUACAAGUCCAAUACUUCAUCUAAAUUUUCAUAAUAAUAACUUAAGUACAAUCCUUAUGUUUGUAAUUCAAAUCAUUCUUACAAAAGUAUAAUCCCCAAAAUAUCAUGAGACUUACAUUCACUUCAACCACAAGUACAUUAUACCAUAAAGUUCACAAAUCUUUCGAAAUAACCAUUACAUUCCACAAAGAAAAUUAAUCACAACCCAGAUAAAGGAUAAUCCACGGUACUCCAAAUCCUUGUGCUUGAGUAACUACCCUUCUCGAGCCUUGCAUAGAACUAAAAUGUUUUUGGGGGUGAGCUAAAGCUCAAUGAGGUUUCAAAAGGGAAAAUCAAAUAUUUAUAAACCAGUGCGUAAUUGCUACUUUGAAAUCAUGUGUAGAAGUAGUACUUUUGCUGGUAACUUUACUAUGAGUACAGCUCAUAAAUCAUUUAAAUCACUAACGUACAUUUGGAAUGCAUGACCAUAUAAAUAUAUUUUCAUGAAUUUUAGUCAAACAAAUAGUGGCUCGUCCGACUAGAAGAGCAUUACAAGGAUUGCUUUGUCUCAGAGAUUAAUGCUCAUGAGGAGUCUUACCCGAGAAAUGUCAACUAGGAGAGCAAUAAUAGUAUUAAUAGUAAAGCAAACACAAAAGGAUACAAUACUCGGUCCACUUCCUGCCCUUAUAACUCCCAUCAGUAACUCCUUCAGUUGACUGGCCAUCACCUUAUCCCUCCAGUGGUAAUACUCGAGUAUACCAAAAUACAGUGCCCAGGGUUAUCAACCUAUCCGACCGAGUCCGCUUCUGGCUCGAAUAGGUGAUAACGAAGGGAAAAGGCCUUGUUCAGCCAAUGUGAUAAAGUACACAUGGCCUACAGCAUACGCAAAUAAUAUAUAAACAAUGAAAUAUUGAACAGUUAAGCGAUAUAGCAAUAGUUAGGUCGAAAGCGAUAAAGUACACACUCGCCUAGAAAUAAGCACUUUUCAUUCAAGUGAACAAGAUUCAUCAAGUAUUUGACCACUUAGGCAUGAAAGAAGCACUUAUCAAGUCACAUCACGUAUAUAUAUAUAUAUAUAUGCAAUUAUACAAACAGUGGUUAUAAAAGUUCGAGAAGCAAUUUUGUGCAAAACAGUUUGGAAUCCCUCACCGUAAUCUGGAGCAAAGCAAGAGCAAAAGCAGGAAAUUAAAAGAGCUUUUCGGUGUCCUCUGAACCACCUGAGAUUAAUCACCAUCACAAAUUACCUAGAUGCUCGAUUAAGGCGAAUAAAAGAAAACCUCUUAGAAUUAAAACUAGUAAAAGUGAUAAAAUAUUUCGUAUGGUUUCUUUAAAGAUACUUUUCUUUCUAGAGGUGCAACUAGAACUAAUACACUUCAUAUAAAUUUUCUUGCCGAGCAAGUCUUCUACACUUUUCAUUUAAAAUUAUUAAAAUCUAGUGUUUUUAACAAUUUUUCUCUAAAACAACUAGCCAGGAAUAAUUUCACGAAAAACUUAAAGUUUGGAUAAAGUUAGUGUAAGCAAAGAAAAGAAUCAACAAGUUAGCAAGGGUUUAAAAGUCCUGUCAUUUAAGUUUUAAUAUUAACGUGCUAUUCUCAAUCUCUAUAACUUGAUAGUAAGAUAAAAUAAUUCCACAGAGCUUGAUUUAAAAGUACUCAAAUUCAACAGACCAAAACGGGUUUCACGAUUUCAAAUCAUUUGCACAUUGUAUUCCCGGUUGCCAAAAUAGCAAAAUCACAAUUCAAACAUCAAUUUCACUAGGGCUUCAUCAAUCAUUAGCCCUAGGUCUCAACAGAUUCAAUUCCAAAUAAAAUUCAACAAAGGAAGUUCAAGGUAUCAAAGCAAUUCCAGAUCACAACCCAUGGGUCUUCCACGUACAUUUCAGCCAACCACUUGAACAAAUUCACCAAAACUUAAACUCUUGCAAAAAUUACUCAAAUGGCCAAGAGCUUCAUCAAUCAUUAGCUCUUGGCAUCAAACAAAUAUUUCUUGCAACAAAUCAACUAGAAAUUUAACUCAAACAUGAAAGAAAAUCACGGUUAGCUUACUCACAAAUAACUCUAGAAUUUCAGAUUCCUUUUCUUGUUUCGAUAGUCAAGAAAAAUCCAGCAAUUGCCAAUUCAAGACACCCAUUAAAUCUCCAUCUUUUACUUGCUAGAACCCCUAAACAUAUAGCUUAUAAUCUGACCGACCUUACUAAAACAAGUAAUACACAAAACCAGAGAAUAAUCUCACCAAAAGUCCCAAUUAAUUCGGCCAGCAAUCUUGAACAAAAUCCAGCAAUAUAACAGUUUGAUUAUAGUGCUUUGCCCCUAAUUUCCUUCAAUUUUUACUUCAACUCAGCGUGCAAAAAGUGAUUAACAAGCUACAAGUAAAUCUUAAGCAUCCAAUAUGAAAAUCUCAGCUACACAUUCGAAGAAAAACUAACCAAAUGUUCAACCCUUUCUCUCGGCCGCAAAUUUCAGAUUCCUUUUCUUUUCCCCUUUUUUUUUCUAUCCACGACUCACAUCAGCUUCAUGCAUGAUUAAAAUAAUUAGCUAUCUAUCAUUUUUGAUCCAAACCAAGUGCGGACAACAUCAACAACUUAUCAUUCAACCAGAAAUUUAUUCAAUCCCACUCGGUUAGCUUGCAUGCAAGCAGAUUCAGUUUUCCUUCAAUUUUCUGAUUUACUCACAUCCAAAUAUUCUCAUGCAAGGCUUAAUCAUCCAGUGUUUGGUUAGCUAAACACACCACCAAGUGAGAAUCAAGCACUUUCCAGCGAAUUUUAUACCAAAAUAUCCAUACAACUCCCAAAAUAACUCCAUCGGCUAAGCUGGAAAAUUGGUUCAGCAGUCAACCAACUUCCAAUAAAAAUUUCCAGCCAUACAACUUAAUUUCCGGCCAUACAAUUCACAUGCAACACCAAAUAAUUAACUAUCUAUCAGUUUUUAACUAGCUAAACCCACAAUUAAACUCAGAUCAUCACAAAUUCACAGAUUAAAGCUGAAAUUUCCAGAUCAAGCUCUCGACAAUUCCAAUUCCUUCACAACCAGAUUUCUUGUAACUUAAUUUUGUCAUCCAACCGCACAAACCCCACAUGCAUGCAUACAAAUAGCUUCAUCAACCCAUACUCAACUAGUUUAAGUCUAGAAAUUACCUCAGCUUGGAGCUCAACACACACGACUAGUGGCUGAAAAUCUUCCUCUCCUCUCGGCCUUGCUCACGCACGCGAGAAUGGUUGGUCUGAGUUCAGUAGUUGCAGCUGUGGUGAUUGUGAUUGAAUCGAUCACGGCUGAUUGAGGGUGAGGAAUGAAAUAGCAGCUCUCGGUGGUGAUGGAGGAAAUAAUAAAGCUCACACGGUUAUCUCCUGCUCUCACGGACUCUCAGACAGCUCAAGGUCUGCAACUCGCACAGUUCUCUCUCUGGUUUUCUCUCGUCAAUGGUACCAAGGCAGGGAGUAAAGUGAAAUGGAAUGAUGUUGUGAAAUGUUGGAGUUGCUGAAAUGGAAAGCUAAGCCGCGUAUGAGGAAGGUGGAAUGUAUUUAUUGAGGUGUUGUGAGUGGAGUUGAGUCGGCAAUAGCAAUGGAAGGUGCUGGUUUGAGAAGUGGAAAAUGGUAGUUGUUGUAGUGGAGCUGAGUCGAUUUUAUAAUGGCGGAAAUGCUGAAAUGAAACAUGGAGCCGACAUGUUGAAAUUGUAUGCAAUUGAAGACUGUUCCAGAAGACUCCAUGACUGCAUGGUGGAUUCGAAAUGAAGGAAGGCUAUUUCGGUCUUUUAGCAACUUAUUCGGACUUCCAUUUAAGCUCUCAUUAAUAAACUAACUUCAAAAUUUCACCCUAAAUGAAAUUUGAUAGCUUACUAAUAUACUAGUCCCGAAAGAAAAUUAAACUAUCGAGAUUCACGCCCUAAGCAUAAUUAUAAAAAGUUUUGACUCAAAACGACUUCAUCUUAAUUCUAGUUUCCCCUUAACACCUAACGCUAAUAACACUUAAAAUUAGCUGUUGAAAUUCAAGGAAUUAAUAUUAAAGCAAUAAGAUACUCUACAUCAUGAAAUAUUAAUUUAACUUAGCAAGAUUCAAGUAACUUAAUAUUUUCACAAUUAACUUAUUUAUAUAUAAAAAAUUAUGGUCACAUACUUAUUUAAGAACCAACAAUAAUAAAAUUUAUUAAAAGUCAAAGAUGCAAAUGCGACAAGUAUAUAUAACAAUCAAAAGCACCAUAAAUAAUUCAACUCGAAUAAAUUUGGUCAUUAAAAUAAUAAUUGUUUAAAGAACCAAUUGUUUAGACUCAUUUUUGAGAAAUUCAUGCAAUUUGGGAAAACUUGACACUACAAGAAAAAAGGUCAUUAGUGACAACAUUUCUUUGUGACGACAAAAAGUUGUCACAAAUGAGGUUGUUUAGUCACGACUUUGAAGGUUGUCACAAUUGACUCAAAGCAACUGAGUUUUCAGUGACAACCUUUAAUUGUCGUCACAAAACUAUUUCGCGCCAUAGGCCUUGGAUGGCGCGAGAUUUGCGAUAGUGACGACUUGAUAAAUGUUGUCAGUAAUUCUACCGCUUUUUUGGACAACUUUUCAUUGUUGUCACUGUUUAUGUUUACUGACGACAAAUUUUUGUCAGUAAAACUAUAGCGUAGUUAGUGACAACAUAAGUAUUAUCACUAACUUGAACAUCUCUAAUGCAUUUAUUUAAUUGUGAGCCUCAAUAUUAAUUUAAUUUUUAUAAAAUUUGAUGAUUUAUUAACUAUGACUUUAUUUAAUUGUGAGCCUCAAUAUUAAUUUAAUUUUUUUUAAAAUUUGAUGAUUUAUUAAACUAGUCAUAGUUACUUAAAUAUUAAUUUAAUUUUUUAAAAAUUUGAUGAUUUAUUAAACUAGUCAUAGUUACUCAAUAGGUUUUUAACUGAAAAAAAUUAAUGAAAGUUUCUAGUUAGAACAACUAUAUAAACUAUUACAACUUGAGAAAGAAUAUAUUUACUAGUUCUUUGAAUUUAGCAAAAAUUUUUCAUCCAUUAUAAUUUUUUGAUAAAUAUGUUAAGAAGUAGUGAUUAGAAAUACAUUAGUAAAUUUAAUUAAAAUUUGAAGCUAAAAAUUCACUUGUAAUAUUAAUAUCGGAUCAACUGUUUGAUGUCAUAAAAAAUUAACUAUUUGAAGCAGAUCCAAGGUGCAUUUACCGCUUGUAAUAUUUCAACAUAAUUUUCUCAUCCAUUAUGAAUAUUUUUACAAAAAUAUUUAAAAGUAGCAAGUAAUAUUAUAUUAGUAAAAUAUUAAUUCAACUAAAAUGUUGGAAACUAAAAAACGUUGAUUGAAAUUUUGGUACUGAACAAGGGGGAAAUCUAAGGAAUUGAAAUUUCAUUCAAAGUCAAUAUUUUGAGGAGAGGCGCGGAAACACUUAGAACACUUAGAACGAAAUAGCCAACACUACCAGUAUCCUAAAGCCAACACUACCAGUAUCACCGAACAAAACACACACUAUCAGUAUCCUAAAGCCAACAGCUAACACUUAGAACCAACCGUAGCACACUACUCCUCGCCAUCUCCUCGCCGAAACAUCUCCUCGCCCGUCUCCUCGCCAUCUCCUAAUUGAUCUUGGCUCGGAAAUGAUCAAAUAGAAGACCACAUUUAGCAGCAACUCUCUACCAAAAAAGGUAUGCCGAUUCUCUUUUUCCUCCCUAAUUUUCCCCCAAAUGUUUUGCCCUAAUUUUUUUUUUUGCCAAAAAUUUCAGUCCAGUUUUUUGGGUUUCAUUUGAUUUAUGGAUGGAGUCAUCUCCUCCUUUUGGAUUCUACUUACUUGUGGGUUUUACCCUUGUUAAUUUUUUGUCAACAUUUUAUUUCGGGUAUGUAUGGGUUCAUAACAGCCUCCUAACAUACAGGCUGUGGCUACACAGAUUUAGCCCUUUCCUGAUCCCUUGAAUUCCUCAACAAUUGUGGCUACAUAGGUUGUGGCUAAUUGAGAUUGUAGACGAGUUUUUGUUUUGCAUUGCACACAGUAGAUUGAUAUAUAGCUAUCAUGCUAAUUGAGCUUGUAGACGAGGCUGUGUUUUGCAUUUUAAUUCCUAUUCGCAAGAGUAUAUUGAAACAAUAAAAGUUCUUGAUAUAUAGCUAUCAUGCUCUGUCCAUGGCAUGGGGCCUGAAGAAAAUUGAUAGAGAUGCUUUGAAUGUAUUUUGGACUUUCCUUCUUGUCCAGAUGGUAAAUAACAAUUUAUGGAUACUCGCACCAAGAAAAGGAAAAAGAAAGAAAAAAUGUCUUAUGUCUAGGACCCAUAAUAACUCAAUCACAGCAAAUGCUGGAUGAAGACUGUCCUUAUUGAGGAAAUAUUUCACUCGUUUUCUUCUUAUUUUUAUCUUGGAUUUGUGUAUCAAUUUGCUUUCAAAGCAAAUCCAGAUUAAAAAAAAUGGGAUGUUGACUUGUGGAAAAUGUGAACCAAUUAAUGUUGAAUAUUGAUUUGAGUCCCAUUUCGGAUGGUUUUGUUCCUAUCCAUUUAUUAUCAUCACUUUUUUUUUGGAAUAAAGCAAAGUGGUCAUAUUGUUGUGCUCACAUUAUAGUAUUAUACUUAACAAAUUUGAAAAUUAGAUAACCUUCAUUGAAGAUUUUAUAAAGUGGCUUUAUGGAAAAUUCUUAACAUUUAUAACUGCUAAAUGUUGUGGUGUCGUGAAGGCACCAAGUUACCACGUUACAACUGGUAAGUUUACUUAUGUAAGAUGUAAAUUCUGUUAAGAUAGUAGAUGAAUUUUCGAUAUCUUACCAUUAGUAUGGCGAGAUUUAGUACUUACAUACAUUUCAAAGGGUGCACAAUACAACUCUCACUGAAAAUUAAUCAAAACUGCUAAUCAUCUGACUGCAAAUUUUGGACCCAAAAGUAAAAUUGUAGACAACCUCAAACACGAGAGAAGAACAGAUAAGCAUGAAAACAUUAAGCGGGAACAAAAGAAAAAGAAAAAAAGAACUAGACAAACUACUAUCAAACUUUUGACUGGGGUAAAAACUUUAAUGGUGCCUUUUCCCUAAUUGGUCUUUCCAGGGCCUUAGAUAACAAUGGCCACUGAUUGCGCUAGUUUGUUAAUGUGAUCUUAGUGCUGUCCCCAAAAACCUCAACUGAGAUCUCACAAGGAGCUAAACUUGCCUAAUUAAAGUAAGGGUUAUUUAUUCAUUAGAUACUCAUUAAGAAAUAAUUCAAGUGUUAAAUUUUAGAAAAUUAAAGUUAAACAGAAAAAUGCAUAAAUAUAAAAGAAAAUAAUAAUUGCGAAUAUGUAUAUUCAGAUGAUAAAUAACAUGUGAUUAAAAUAUUUUAACUAGUGUUGAAUGAGAUAAGAACACCUUUUAAAAUAUUCUACCUAGACUUAAUUAAGAACUAAUAACUUUAGAGGGAUACCCUUUUUAAAAUUUUUAUACUGCUCCAGGUAAUGAUAGCCAUUGAUUGAACUAGUUGUUUGUUACUGUGAUCUCAGUGCCGUCCCAGGAAAUCUCCACUGAGAUCUAAUAAUUAAAUUUCUCCCCUGUCCUUUUCGUUUUGUUGUCUUCUUUAUGAACCAAAAGUUUGUUUCCUUUUUGACAAGAACGUCCAGGUGUAUUUGUGACAUGUUUGACAGUUAGUUUCCUUUUUGUAUUUAUGAACCAAAUGUGUAGUUGUGACAUGUUUGAAUUUACUAAUAGCUGUGUUGUAUUUUGUUUAAUUUUUAUUAUUGUUGUAUGGGAAGAUUAAUUUCCUGUAUUGAGCUUAAUUUCCUAUAUUUAUUAUAUGUGUUGUCUUUGUAGUAUCAUGGUUGCGUAUUUUUUUGUGUUAGGAUCAACAGUGCUUGUGAAAAAACAUGGAUAGGAGUUGGAUGACAAUUAAAGAUUACUUGCAUCCUAGAUAUUUGGCAGGAGUGAAAGAAUUCGUUGAAUUUGCUUAUUUAGGCAAGGAUCCCACAUAUAAGCUCCCUUGUCCAUGUAAAGGGUGCAACAACUUUGAGGAUCAAACUAUGGAGGUCAUGAAAAGUCAUUUGUGUGGGGGAAUUGUUGAGAGCUAUACUAGGUGGGUAUAUCAUGGUGAAAGGUUUGAAGAUUCUGAUGAGGAUGAAAAUGAUAACAUAGUUUUAGAUGAAGAAAACAGUGAGUCAGAUGAUAUUCAAGAAAUGUUAAAUGACGUUGGUACUGCAAACUUUGGCGAGAAUUGGAGAAAUUCGGGGGAACAUAAUAGGGAUAUACCAAAUAAGCAAGAGGGGGAAGCAAGUAAGUUUCUUAGAUUAUUAUCUGAAGCUGAAAAAAGUCUCUACCCGGGUUGUGAUAAGUACUCAAAACUUUCCUUUGUUGUCCAUAUCCUUCAUUUGAAAACUAUGAAUUGGUGGACUUGCAAAUCCAUCGAUAUGCUGCUGAAAUUCCUCAUUCAAGUCUUCCCCAUGGCAUCAAUUCCUAGCUCAUACUAUGAUGCAAAAAAUUUAAUUCGUGAGCUAGGACUCAAGUGUGAAAAAAUACAUGCAUGUGAAAAUGAUUGUGCACUUUAUUGGAAAGAAAAUGAAAGCCUCGAUCACUGCCCAAAUGAAAAAUGUAAAGCACCUCGUUAUAAAUCCCCGGGUUCUAAAAUUCCUAGAAAAGUGCUUCGCUAUUUCCCCUUAAAAUCAAGGUUACAAAGACUAUUCAUAAACAAGGAGAUAGCUCAAGAUAUGAGGUGGCAUAAAGAGAGACGCGUUCCCAAGGAAAACACAAUGACACACCCUGCUGACUCAAUAGCUUGGAAGGAGUUUGAUAACAGUCACCCAUCUUUUGCCGAAGAUCCUCGUAAUGUUAGGUUGGGGCUUUCAACUGAUGGUUUCAAUCCCUAUGGAAACAUGAAUAAUGCAUAUAGUAUAUGGCCUGUAAUCCUCGUUCCUUACAAUCUACCACCUUGGAAAUGCUUAAAGGACCCUUUUUUCCUGUUAUCAAUGAUUAUUCCAGGUCCUAAGUGCAUAGGAAAUUAUAUGGAUAUAUUUUUUAGGCCUCUAAUUGAUGAGUCGAAAGAGUUUUUUGACACUGGCUUUGAGACUUAUGAUGCAGCUAUGGGAGAAAAAUUUAUGUUACGGGCUGCUCUAUUGUGGACUAUAAGUGAUUUUCCAGCAUAUGCCUAUUUGUCAGGGUGGAGUACAAAAGGUUAUAAGGCCUGUCCUAUUUGUUUAGAUGAUACAACCAGUGUAUAUCUGAGAAAUGGAUUAAAAUGUUGCUAUAUGGGGCACCAGCGAUUUUUGCCAGCGGACCAUAAAUGACGCAGAGAAAGAAAGUCAUUUGAUGGCAAGAGUGAUCUUAGACAGCCUGUUAGAACUUUAUCCGGUGAAGAAAUCUUUGAACAACUUCAAGAGUUUGAUCAAAUGGUGUUUGGUAAGGCACCUGAAUUGCUUAAAGAGAAGAAAAGAAAACGCAUGCAAAAUCAGUCAAAUUGGUUGAAGAAAAGCAUUUUUUUUGAGCUUCCAUAUUGGAGUACUAACAAAAUUAGACACAACUUGGACAUUAUGCAUAUCGUGAAGAAUGUGUGUAAAAUUUUGUUGGCUACAGUGAUGGGUACGGGACACAAAAAUAGGGACACUUGGCAAGCUAGAGAGGAUUUGAAGGAAAUGAGAUUGAGGGGAGAAUUGCAUCUUCAAACUCAAGGGGAUUCAAAGGUGAUGCCCGCUGCAUGCUACACUCUUUCACGCAGCGAAAAACAAAAACUAUGCCAGUUUUUGAGCUCACUCAAGUUCCCCGAUGGAUUUGUCUCAAACAUAUCUCAUUGUGUUAAGCCAAAAGAGUGCCAAAUUUCAGGGAUGAAGAGUCAUGAUUAUCAUGUAUUCUUGCAACGUCUACUUCCAUUAGCAAUUAGAGGCAUGCUGCCAAAGGAUGUUUCCCAAACUUUGGUAGAACUAAGCAAUUUUUUUAGGAAAAUUUGUUCCAGGACUCUUUAUGUAGAUGAGUUAGAUGCACAGGAGAAAAACAUUGUUGUAAUACUCUGCAAACUUGAAAAAAUUUUCCCUCCAAAUUUCUUCGAUGUAAUGGUCCAUUUACCUGCUGAAGCAAAACUUGUUGGCCCAGCACAAUACCGGUGGAUGUUCCCAUUUGAGAGGUAGUGUAAAGGCUAUUUUAAGACUGAAUCUUCUUUUGCUUCAUAGGGUCGUACUGCUGUGACAUCUUAUGGCUGCAUUUUUGUGACACAGAAAAAUGGGUCAAUACAAAGGUUAUGUGCACAACAGAGCUCGACCGGAAGGAUGCAUUGUUGAGCGUUACUUGGAUGAUGAAUGUCUAACAUUCAUUUCUAGGUACUUGCACAAUGUUCCUACAAUAUUUAAUGAACCAGAAAGAAACACCGAACGCUUUGAGGCUGCUGGAAAGUUGUCUAUUUUUUCUGGAAUGGCUCGGCCUUUUGGGGCAGCAACAUUUUGUUGCUUAAGUGAAUCAGAGUUGAUGAAAAUACAUUUAUUCAUCUUGAAAAAUUGUGAAGAAAUUGAUGAUUACAUAAGGUAAUAAAUUUAUUACCUUAUGUAUAUGAGAAGUGUUAUAUGUUUAGUCAAUUAUAGCACUAACCGUAGCACAUAGAUAACUAAUAAUACUAUUGUAUAGGAUGCACAAAGAAUUGCUUCAGCAGCAAAAUGUGUCGAAUGUAGAGUAGAUGCACGAUUUAGAGUUUCCAAAGUGGUUUGAAGAUCGUGUAAGUAUGGAACAAACUACUAGAAAACUUGUGGUAUUUAUAUAGUUGUUAAUUUGUUCAGUCAUUCUAAUUUCUUAUUUGGGUUAUAUAGGUCACUUACAUGCAUACACAAGGCAGAUGCUGUGAUGAAUUGUUGUCUUUGGCCAAAGGACUGGAUUUUAGAGUGAUCAAAUAUCCUGGUUGUAAUGUCAAUGGGUUUAGAUUUCAUACCAAAACACGUGAGGUAGACAGAAAAACCCAGAAUAGUGGCAUUAUGGUGAAGGGUGAGCAUGCUGAUGUAGAAAUAAACUUCUAUGGUGCUAUUACAGAUAUCUUAGAGGUUGAAUACUCCUUCAGUCAAAGCCGAGUAGUUCUGUUCAAGUGUGAUUGGUGGGACUUGAAAAAUAGCUCAUGUCUUAAAAUAGACAAACAGAGUAAUCUAAGCAGCGUCAAUUUGUCAAAAAAAUGGUAUAUAGACCAGCCAUUUGUAUUCGCUUCCCAAGCCGAACAGGUCUUUUACGUAAAGGAUAUGAGGCUUGGAGGUGAUUGGCAUGUUGUCGAGUCAGUCUGUCCACGUUCAUCAUAUGCUAUUCUUGAAAAGGAUGAGGAUAAAUCAUGUGAAGAAGAAGAGGUUUACCAAGAAGAUUAUCUUGAAGACCUAAUUGGGGUUCAAGAGAAUGUCGAUUUGUCUAACUUGAAAAGAGGUGAUAUGCUAGCUGAUGAAGCUGUAGAAACUGGCAUCCUAAAUUCUGAUUCUUCAGCUAAACAUGCCAGGAAAAUGGAUGAUUUUUUUGUUGAUGAUGAUGAGAUUCAGCAAUUGAGCUCGAGUGAAGAUGAAAGUGGAAAAUUUGUAGAAAGUGAUGACUAUGAGUCUGACUAAACGAUGUUGUAAAUAACAUUUUCAGUUUCUAUUUAUAGUUACCAUGUAACUUUUGGUUCAAAUCAAGUGUAUUUCUUAUCUUGAAUUACUUUUAGUCACUCUUAUCUUCUAAUUUGCAAUAUCUAUUGUAAAAUACAAGGCAUAUUAAUUAAGUUCCUCCUUCGGGUGAGCAUGCUGGUAAUUGUACCUUGUCCUGGCUUUUUAGACAUAUUUAGUCUAAAUGCAUGGCUGAUUGAUAUCUUUUUAUCAUGUAGUUACAUGGAUGGGCCAGGGAAGAAAGGAAAAUGUCCUAUGCGACCAACUCGAGGUGCUGAAAUACCUAAUGCAGCAGAAGCUAGAGAAAAAAUAGGUGAACAGGUGAUGAAAAUUGACUUUGCUAUGUACUUGUACCUUCACUUCUUUAUACCAUUGGUUUUAAACAAUUAAGCAUCUGCCCUGCUGUGUAUUUCUUACUUCACUAUAGCAAGUUGGUGGCCCAAAAGGUAGUCUGGCUAGCAAUGCCAAUAAUGGUGCUGAAUUCAGCCUAUCUAGAAAGUCAGUUCAAAUUCGCCUAUUUGAUGAGACUGAGGUUAGUUCUUACUUUUGGUAGUUGGCAAUAUUUGAAAAAUACAUUUCUAAUGUGUAGUUGGCUGGAUUUUAGGAUCCUACUACCUCAAAUGGUCGCAAAACUACUACAGGAUCAUCAAGACAUGAGUUGACAACUCCUACAUCUAUUGAGCAGCAAAAUACUACUCCUACUUCAGUACAAGUCGGAUCUAACCAGUCCAUUGGUUGUGGAAGUGACCGGAAUAAUGAGAGCGAUGAUGUUCAACAGAAUGAUACCGGUAUAUGAGAUUUACUUGUAAUUUAUAUUACACAGCUAAUUUCAUUUCAGAUUUUUCCACUCACAUUCAUAACUGUGUACUAUGUUUUGGGUAGGUGGUAUCAAUGUAACUAGGAAAAGAGGAUAUACUCGCAAUAUUGCACUGUCCAAGGAAAAAAGGCCGGCAAAAAGGUAAAAGUCCAGGUCUCUGAAGUUAGUGGAAGAGUAAUUGGAGAAGGGGCACAACAGUACAUCUCAGAGGCAAGUUGUGUCAUUCGUAAAUAUGGCAAAUGGAAAGCAGAAAAAUGGUCCAAACUCCAAGAAUCUGAUAGAGAAGGAAUGCUAAAACUUGUUAAUGUAAGUGAAAUUGUUUUGAAGGCUUGUUUUUCUUCUUGACUUGGUAACAACUAGUUCUGCAACAGGUCAUUUAUGCACUUUUUCUGACAUUUACAAUAAAUUUUUCACUCAUAUUUCAGAAUAGUUUUGCUUAUGAUGAAGGAGAACAUGUUAAGCCAGCACUUCUUAAGCAGUUAAAUACACAGUACAGAAGUCGACGAUACAAUUUUCACAAGAUUUUCAAGAAAUUUAGUACAAAAGAGGAAGCACUUGCAAAUCGUCCACAAUAUGUUGAAGAAUCUGAUUGGAUUUACCUUUGUGACUAUUUCUGUAGUCUAAAUUUUAUGGUAUAGAGGCCGACUUUUGAUCAUUUACUAUUGUUCUUUCUCAUGUUUUUUGUGUGUUAAAUUUUGAUCAUGGCUGAACUUGAUAAGUGCAGAAGAUAAGUGAGAGGAACAAGAUCAAUAGAUCAAAGCAAAAAACUGCUCAUACAGCUGGAACAAAAUCCUUUCUUCGUCAUAAAGCUGACCGGGUAUUUGAUUAUCUUGAAGACAUGUCUUUUGGAUUGUUUAGGCAGGUUAUUUAACUUCUUAUUGUAACAGGAAGCAUAAGAAGGGAGGGAAGUUGGACCAAUAGAACUUUAUGACAUCACCCAUUACAGCAAGAAGAAGAAUGCAAUGGUUGACGAAACAUCUGCUAUGAACUUAGUAAGAAAAAUGGAAUUGCUACUCUAAUAUUGUUGUACAACUCUUAUGAAAGUCUAACUUCAGAAUUUACCUUUGUGACAGAGCAUGAUGAGGGAGAAAAAGUUGGAAUCUAAAUCCAGUGGUGCAAAUAGGACUGAAGAAGACAUUUCCAUUGAAGUAACUGGACGUGUAACCGGAUACGUACAUGGCCGUGGUCCCUCCAAAGCUGGAAUAAUUGCCCAAAAGCUUGCAGAGAUAGAUGAUUUCAAGAAAAGAGCAGAACAAGCGGAGAAGCGCUCAGUUGAGCUGGAAAUAACAGUCCAAUCUCAACAACAACUUAUGGAGAAGCUUGUGAACCAGCAAAGUGAAAUGCAGAACCAACAAAGUGAAAUGCAAGAUCUCCUUAAAUCUUUGAAAGCACAGCUGCAAGCCAACAAGUAAGAUGAUGAAGGCACAUCUGAACGAACUGAUUGGUAAGCAAUUUUCAACUAUAUAUACUUGUCUAAAUAGAUAUAAUGGCUGCUAUGGUUUAAAGUUAACAUAAGUUAUUGCAAAUUAGUUAUUGGUAGGUGACAAUAUUAACUUGUAAUAUCAAGACUGAGGAGGGACAUUUAAGAAUUACUUCUGUCAACUCAAGGUUCUAAUCAGCUGGUGUUUUGAUCCUGGGAGUACAUUUGUGGCUUUAUCAUAGCUUUGUUAUCAUGAAACAAUAACAUUACACAAAAAAAAGCUUCAAUAGUGUUUCUGUUUCAUGAUAUUAAUUUGAGGAGCACAGAAGGGCUAAAGAAUAGAAAAGAUUAUUAUUGUCAUUUGGCCAAUGAGUUAGCUAAAAACUUAAAAUAUUGUCAUGUUUAAGACGUUUUAUGGUCAAGAUACAGAAACGCUUGCAUCUUGCAGGUUUCAAAGGUUCAUGGCAAUUCUGGACCUGUCUCUCCCUUUCAUUCUUGUGGGUGCCACUUAUUAUUCUCAGUGUUUUGAACACAAACUAGUGUAGUGUCUAUGUCACUACUGGUCGUUGUGGACAGAGUAGGAAGAUUUGAUAUCUUCUUACUAAUUUAGGUUAGGAAUGAACAGCAAAAACAAAAUACUGAUUUAGCUUUUUGAAUACUUGCUAAACAUUAAUGUCAUGCAAUUUCUAGUUAAGCCUAAUGAUUUGCUAUGUGGUGUCCUGAUUCUAGUUUUUCUGUUUUGCAAUGACAUUUAGGCUUUAAAGCUCAGACGGAAACUUUGGCGCUCCUAAUUACCGCCUUUACUCUGGAAAAUCCUUUCUUUCCUGGUUGAAUUUUAUCAUGGCACUGUCUUCUUCAUUCCCUUUGUCUCUGCUGACCAAAGCUUCUGAUUUCUUGUUAGAAAUAUGGUGCAGAGAAUUUGCUGUUCUGUCUCAGACCCUUCGUUUCUGAAAUUAGCUCCUACUUAGUUGCCAAAAACUGUUGUUCUGAUGAUAUGUAAAGUUGCAGAUGGAAAUGGUAAAGUAAUUCAAGUAAAGAACUAAUUACUAGUAAAUUAGCAAACAUGAACCUGAAGAGGACCUAAUUGUAGCGUUGACAGAAUAACCAUCUUCAAGAAGCCUUUUGAUCAACCAUAAUGCCAAAAAGUCCAGUUCCACCUGUUACACAUACUCUCCCCUUCUCCAUCUUCUCCCCUUCCAUUAAUUUGUGUCCGUCUAGCCUUUAAUACCAGUAUAGUACUGUUUGGUCUCUCUGCAGUGGAUUGUCAGUUUCAACUUGAAGAAUUAAUGUAUUUCUAGUAUAGUAUUUCACUUGAAGAAUACCAGUAUAGUACAUGCGAAAUGUAUUUCCUUCAAGUAGUUAAAGGGAAUCUUCCUUGUUAGUUAGACUGUUGUGCUGAGUCAACAAUCAAGUAGUUAUUUUGUUAUUCUUGAGCUGUAUAAGAAUGCAGAAAUCUGGAUUGGGCAAUAUGGAAAAAUCAUUUUGAAUAAUAUCUCUCUUUCUUCUUCCUCAAGUCUAGUUUCUCUCCCCCUUAUCACUCUAUUUCUGCUGCAAUUGCUGCAUUCAUUACGGUAGUAUCAGAUUAGUGAAUGCUUGUUACUUUUGUUGUUUAUUUAGCAAUUAGAGACUGUUUUGCUUUUGUCACCUGAUAACUUUACUAAUAACUUUACUACUUUAUUGCAGAUAUAUUGCUCAUUUUGGAGGUUUCGAAGAAGAUUAGCAGUACGGCUUACAUGUCGGCUCAAAAACUGUGGUUAUAGUACUGUCUUAAGUUUAGAAAAUGUUUCAGAAGCGCAGGAAAUGUUUUGGGACUUGGAAUAUGUUUUUUAGUGCAGCCUUGACUUAUAUGAGUAGUAUUUGUUCUACUCAAACUUAUGAAACUAUUUGUACUAUGAUGUUGCACUUAUUUAUGACAUUUGAAUAUUUAAUAUAUUAUUUUGGCAUAUUCUAUUGUAAUGGGUGCCUACAUUUGUUAUUUAUUAAACAUUGCUGAUAUUUUCAUUUUUUAGAUAUUAUUGUAGUAGGAAAGUCAUGUGUAAGGUGUUGUAAAUGAGUAGUAUUUUUCUAGGCAGGAUGUCUUUAUUGACAAUUGUUAUUGUCACUCAAUCAAAACUGUCUAUUGAUAAGGGAUUGUUGCCACAGUUGAUCAGGGGUUUAUUGACAACAAAGUUGUCACUAAUUCCCCUAUGCCCUCACUAUCGUCCCUUCAUGCAUCACUUGCAUCACUGACAAGAGAAGGUGUUGUCACUAGAUUUAUAGCUUUUACUGAUGACAUAUGUUGUCAUAAAAAGUUUCAUUCACUGACAACUCUAAGGUCGUCACUGUAUACUUUCAUCUUUUACUGACGACAUAGAUUGUCAUAAAAAAGGUUCUAUUUACUGACGACUUUAAAGUCGUCACUGUAUACUUUUACCGACGGAGAUUCAGUGACGACCUUGCGACAACAGAAAUGUUGUCAAUAAUGGUCAUCAGUGACGACUUUUUGAUUAUUUGUGACGAAAAGUAGUUAUCACUGAUGACCAAAAUUCUUGUAGUGUGAGUAAUUCACAUGCAAAAAUACUUUUAAAUGACCAAUUUAAGAAUAUUUUGCAAUAAUUAAAAUAUGAGUCCUCACAGGUGCACCACACACCCAUAUGAAUUUAGAGCAAAUCACAUAUUGAGGCACAUUGAUGGGAGGCAAGGUUUGAAUCCUUAACCUCCCACCCCACAAUUAAUGUGGUGGCCAACAUUAUGCUCUUCUUGUUCACUCCAACAUUUUGUUCAACAUCAGCGCUUACUUUAGGUUUGGUCAUCACUGAUUUGGGGACGAAAUCCUACCACUGAAUGUCCCACAUGAGUAGUUUCACUUCACAAGGACAUUCAAUUGACUUUGAGCACCUUUCUCUUUCGCAAUUGCCAAGCACCCCAAGACAUUGCGCAUCUUGGCCAAUAAGACUCCGUUAGUGCUAUGAUUUUUGAGGAAACCUCGUGAGAAUGUUCAACUGUCUAAUCUUCCGUUGAUUGGUUCUUGGAGCAUUUUAGAAAUUUCAGAAGCCGAUAAAGCAUCAAAAGGAAAAUUAUUCUUUGAAAAUUAUAGUAAAUUUAUCUAUAUUUUUAGUUCCAUAAUUUUCAAAUAUGUUCGUACUAUACAUGUACAAAUUUAUAUGAGUAAUUUUGCCGAACACGCCGAAUUUUUAAUCGUACCUUUGAAAAUAAAUCUUGUAUAAUAUGCAUACAUAUACCUCGUAUUAUACCCAUAGCAUAUUUUACAAUCUAUGCCCUUAAUGCUAUAAAUAAAAUACGUAGGAAGUUAAAUGAACAAAUUGACUACAUAUCAUCAUUUGAGGAUCUAGCUUUCAAAAAUCACAUUGUCCAUAGGUUAGGACAUGCCCAAGGCUGGUCUAGUGCACACUGCACAGUGCCUUGUAAACAUAUUUUAACAUGCCCUAAGGGUUUAGCACUAAUUGGACAAGCUUACCAAGUCGGAUAUUAAACAAAUUAACUAGAUUUUUAAUUAGCGAAGCUCUACCAUCUUUAAUUAUGUCCUUGGGAUGAAUAUUUAAGGGUUGGAAGUUGCAUUAAUCCAAAAUGCACAGAAGUUAGCUCAAAAUACCACCUGGCCCAACAAAAAUUAAUGAGCAAGAAAUUCAAAAAAAAGAAAAAGAAAAAAGAGAGACCCUUAAAAAUGAGAGAUUUAUGGCUAAAUUCAUCCUCAUCCAUAGAUUGUGCCAAAAAAAUUAAUAAAUCUCUUGAUUGACUCCAUUCCUUUACUAGUUUCUGAAUUGUAGUGUCUAAACAAACUGUGUCUAUUACUUAUAUUAAUUGUAUUGUUUGGAUUAAAUGCCUAUGAAUACAGGCUUCUAUCAGUAUAUGAUGAAAUAUAAACAAAAUGUUGUUCUUUUCAUUUGGUUUUUUCUCAUGGUAUCGGUGCAAAUGAAGAGAUUCUAGCACAUUGUUUAACGUUUAGUACUAAGUUUAUGCUCUUUUUUUUUUUUGGUUUACUUCAACAUUUUGUUCGUCAGCGCUUACUUCAGGUUUUGUCAUCACUGAUUCAGGGAAGAAAUCCUACCGCUGAAUGUCCAACGAGUAGUUUCACUUCAAAAGGACAUUCAAUCGACUUUGGCCACCUUUCUCUUUCGCAAUUGCCAAGCACCCUAAUACAUUGCGCAUCUUGGCCAAUAAGAAUCCAUUAGUGCUAUGAUUUUUUGAGAAACCUCGUGAGAAUGUUCAACUAUCUAAUCUUCCGUUGAUUGGUUCUUGGAGCAUUUUAGAAAUUUCAGAAGCCAAUAGAGCAUCAAAAGGAAAUUGCAGCGACAGGGCUGCCUGCCAGUUUGAAUACUUUUUCCUCUAUAAAUUAACCGUGCACGAAGCUGCAGCCUAUAGGCACAUUUCUGCAUCUGUUCAGCUCAUCAAUUUACGGUUUCCAUCCAAUUUUGCAGCAGUAGUCUACCAUCCCAGAGUUGGAAAUGGAUGUGAAAAGCAAGAUUUUGAUCAUUGGGGGCACUGGAAACAUCGGGAAAUAUGUAGUGGAAGCAAGCACAAAAGCUGGGCACCCAACGUUUGCACUGGUCCGAGAAAGCACAAUUUCAGAUCCUAAGAAGGCAGCCAUCAUCGAGAGUUUCAAGAGUUUGGGAGUCAUAUUUCUUCUUGUGUGCUGUUAUUUCUUUCUUCGUUGUCUAAAUACUGUUUCAAUUUUUUUUCAAAAAAUUAUAGAAACUAACGUGUACGCAUGGACUGAACAGGGAGACCUACACAAUCAUCAGCAGUUGGUAAAUGCAAUCAAACAAGUUGACAUAGUGAUCUCUGCAGUCGGGGGAGAUUUGGUAGCUCAUCAAGUUAAGAUUAUUGAAGCAAUUAAAGAAGCUGGAAACAUCAAAGUAAGCACAAUACAGUGUUACAAAUUCUUUCUUGAUUUUUAUUUUUUGCGUUUGUCCCUUUGUGAGUUGUGACUUCCAUAUUCCUAAAGAAGGAGCAGUCUUUGGUUUCAGAGAUUUUUACCUUCUGAAUUUGGGGGUGAUGUGGAUCGUGUGCAUGCCGUUGAGCCUGCUGCUAGCUUAUGCAAGACCAAGGUUGAGAUCCGCAGAGCUAUUGAGGCAGAAGGGAUACCUUACACUUAUUUAGUAUCUAAUGGAUUUGCUGAUUACUUGAAUUAUAUCCUCAACAACUUUGGAGACACUGGUUCUGCAAGUCCUCCCAGAGACAAAAUUGUCAUUCUUGGUGACAGAAAUCCAAAAGGGAUCCGAAAGAAGCUUGUCUGCUGCAUUUCUUGAUUGGUUUAGUAUCAUGUUUUAGAGUUCAUCGUUCUCAAUUUUUUCUUCAAUUUUAUGUUUCGUUGUAGUUGUUUACACCAAGGAAGAAGACAUUGCUGCAUACACCAUCAAAGCAGCAGAUGACCUAAGGACUCUGAACAAGAGUCUGUACAUUUCACCACCUGCCAACACUUUGUCCUACAACGAAAUAGUAUCAUUGUGGGAAAAGAAAAUUGGCAAGACCCUCGAAAAGACCUACGUUCCAGGGGACGAAGUUCUUAAGAAAAUUCAAGGUCAUCUAACAAAAAGAAGAAAGUGCACAAGUUGCUAAUUUUAAUACAAUAGCAUCUACUAUUAUUAACACCUAUUCCGCGUUCUAAUCAAAUUGGUUUCUUUUCUGUAUCUUUCGCAGAGGCUUCAAUGCCAUUAAAAUUGCUCCUGUCUUUGGCAUACACAGUUUUCGUGAAGGGAGAACUAACCAAAUUUGAGAUCAAGGCUUCUUUUGGCAUGGAGGCAACAGAGCUCUAUCCUGAUGUUAAAUACACCACACUUGAUGAGUACCUCAGCCAGUUUGCAUCAAAUUAGCUUAGAUGCUUUCAGAUUAGCUCUACAAGAUUUUUGCAGCAGUUUCUUGUGUACUACUAGAUUUUUUUCUUCUUCCAGAUGAGGAUUGUCAUGAAUGUGAUCGAAAUAAAAUCUGCCCUUAAUUUGUAUCCCGUCUUUUGUGUACUUGGGUUGAAUUCUUCCAACUUGAAAUCAUCAUCUGGUUGCCUCUGAGUAUCCUUUCUUGAUACUAACCACCUGCCUUAUGAUUUGGAUCCCUUUUUGGCCGAGGCUAAAUUCCGGACAAUGCAAGGCAAAUUAUAUACUCCUCGUCUCCUUGGUCCCGAAAUUGCAGAAAAUAUUGAGAUACACAGGCAUAGUUGUGCUCAUCUGAUUGAGCUCUUUUGAGACCUGAGUUUUCAGGAAGUGGACCAUUUCUCAUCUAAACAGUUGCCUAAGGCCAAAUUAUCACAAGAAGCACACAGAAAACAAAUUUGUAGCUAUUUUGAACUCUAUUAAUUUCCGAAUUUGAGUCAAAAGUCUUGUGCUUGAUCUUGAUGUUUCUCCACAGUCGCGAUUUGAUUUGGAUUUCUAUUUUUUUUAUAUAAAUUUUGAGAUUGUAUGUUAUAAAAAAAUAUCAACAUGAAACAUGCUUUGAGGUUGUAACCUAUUUGUUUAGGAAUUAAGAUUUCUUCACCAAAACAAAAAAGAAUAUGUCAUUACUAAGCUAUUAAAGUCAUGAUUAGGUUUCCCAUCACCUAAAAAAUGAUAUAUAAAAAAUAAUUUGAGAGCAUGAGAGCAUGUGUAUUCGUUUUGUGCUGAUAAAAAAAAAAACUAAAAAUGACCCCCCCAAAAAAACAAUACCAAAAAACCCCACCAAAAAAAAAACUAAAUAUAAUAGCAAAAGGUGAUAUUCAUACAUUCCCAGUGGUUAAGCACUUUUUAAGGUACACGGUUUGUAGCUACAUAUCCUCAUGCUUAUUCUUGUCAUCUACCUCUGUUUGAGUAAAUACUGCAGCAACAGGGUCAAUACAGAAAUUAACAUGCUCCCCAGGCUUGAUCUCAAGUCACUCAUCUAGUUCCUUGUUGGCAGAAAAACCAUGCUCCUUUGGUAUACUAAACAGCAAAAAUAGCAAAGAUGUUUAGUAUGUGAGGAUCUCAAAAUUGCAUUAAUUUCUGAAAAUUAAAAUCAAAAUAUUAUUUAAAUGUUGAAAUUAGUAAAUAAUAUGUAUUUAUAUUUAAUAAUGUGUAUUUAUAUUAUUAAUGAUGUUUUCACUUAUAUAAAUGUUAUAUUUUAAUUUACAUGAAUUAUUAAAAAUUUAUUUGACGGUUCGCGUUCGGCUAAGCAUUAGGGUGAAUUUUUGCUCACUAACGCGCAAUGUAGCCCUAAGUUGAAAUGUAGGGUAUCUAGAGGUUAUAAAAAUGUACAACUAAGUUGAGGAAAUGUUAAGUGGGGAAUUCCUACCAGUAGAUAAAAUUCUCGCGCGUAAACGCGAUUCAAUUCAAAAUUUCCUCACCCUUAAUGGCAGGCCCAAAAGUCAACAAACCUAUACCUUUAGCUUACCUUCAUUUUCAACCCAUCUUAUCCCAGCUUUCACGUCCCUAUCUUCCCUCCAAAUUCUGAUCUUCGGGUGCAAGAAAGAAACAGGAGCCGCUGCUCUUCCACAGCUUCCACCGAUUCUCCAUCUUCACUAACCUUCAACUCCUACCUUCACCUUCCUUUUCCAGCAUCAACCUUUACUCUUUGCUGCUGCCUCGAUCGAUCAAGAGGAAGGAGAAGAUCGCUGUUCCUGCUGCUACUCUCGCUGCUCCUGCCGCUGCUACUACUGCUGGGUUGUUCGGACCUGGGUGAAGGAGAAAAACCAGCUUCCUUUUUCUUCCUUCCACCAACCACAGAACCACCCCAAGCUCACCAAAAACCCCAGAACCCCAGCCCUCUUCAUCUUCGGUCGCUGUUGUGCUGCUGCGGUGACAGGUCAGACAAGCGGAAAAACAGAGUGCAAGGGUCACUACAAGAAAAUUGGUCAUCAGUGACAACUUUUCUCUGUGACGAAAAAAAGUUGUCACAAAAGUGGAUCCUUUAUUGACGACUUUCUAACUCGUCACAAACCUCUAAUGGGAGCCAACUCAUUUGUGACGACUUUUUCGUCACUAGUAAAUUCCCGCCAAGAUUUAGCAAGAGCGCGGCAGUGUUUAGAACACACAAUAGUGACGACAUUAAGAACAUCAUCACUAUUGCUUGGCCUAUUUACGGACGAGUGUUUGUUGUCGUCACUGAUCACUAAAAAAAAAAGUUAUUAGUGACAACAUUUUGUAGUGAUGACAAUAAGUUGUCACAAAAGGAGUUUCUUUAGUCGCGACACCUAAAGUUGUCACAAUUGCAUCAAAGCAACUAAAUGUUUAGUGACGACCCGUUAUUUUCGUCACAAACUACACUGCAAGAAAUAUGGUCAUUAGUGACAACAUUUUUUAGUGACGACAAAAGUCGUCACAAAACGUGGUUGUUUAGUGACGACAAGGAGAGUUGUCAUAAUUGCUCAAAGCAACUAAGUAUUCAGUGACGACCUUGAAAAAGUUGUAACUAAAAUGAUCUAUAUAGUGACAACUUCUCAUAUCGUCACUGUCACUCUACCGAUUCGGAUUUAGUGAUAAGAAUUAAUCGUCACUGUUUAAAGUACUUAUUUCUAAGUCACUUUCAUUAAUUCUACUGUGCCACCCUAACUUUUAUAAUUUAGCCCCAAAUGUUGUAAAAAAUUCCAUUGAUUCCAUUAUGAUACCUUAACUUUUACAAUUUAGCCCCAUAUGUAGUACACCGAUUUCUUUAAUUCUAUUAUUACUCCCUAACUUUUGUAAUUUAGCCCCAUAUGUAAUUCACCAAUUUCAUUAAUUCUAGUAUGACACUCUAACUUUUACAAUUUAACCCCAUAUAUAAUACACCAAUUUUAUUAUUUCUAUUAUGGCACCCUAGCUUUUACAAUUUAGCCCCUAUUUUUUUAUUAGGAAAUUGCGAAUGGUAUCUUGAUAAACUAUGCAUAAAUAUUUUAUAAUUUUCUCAAACUUAAGUAAUAAUUUGUUAUAAACUCUAAAGAUAUAUCUUUCAUUACAAUAGUUAUAAGGCAGGCAGGUCUUUUAUCAAUGGAAUAAGAAAUUUAUGCCAGAUUUAUCCUUUGUACUACAUGCCAAGUAGUAUUAGCAAAGGAAUAACAAAGUACUACAAAGUAAUUAACAAAAUAGCCUUCAGGGAGUGUAGUUUAUGGGCAAAUGAGCAUUAUCUAUUCAAAGUACCAACUUUUUAUGGGCAUUUUACUCUCAAACAUAUAAUUUAUGAUAAAUUUAUAAAUGUUUGCAAGUAAAAUUCAAAAAGUGUUACACUGAUUUCUUACAAAACGAAAACUGGCAGGUUAUCUUUUCAACAUAAAUUAAAUUUUUUUAAAAAAAGAAAUGGCCCAUAAAGUACCAACUCUUUGUGGGUUUCCUCCAUUACAUGAACAAAUAUUCUGCUCUUUAUGGGCAUUUCACUCUGAAUCAUUUAAUUUAUGUUAAAUACAUAAAUGUUUGUAAGUAAAAUUCAAAAAGUGUUGCACUAAUAUUUUUAUGAAAGGGAAACUGGUAGGUUUUGUAUUUAACAUAAAUUAAAUAUGUGAAAGCAAAAAAAAAAGAAAUUACCCAUAAAUCUAUGUCUUGCAAAUCUAUACUAGUAAAAUAGUUUCAAACAAAAUUAAACAUUAAAAUAAACUGUAAUUUAUACACAUUAAAAUAUCUGUAAUUUAUACACAUUUUGCAACUACUACUUUGUGUUUUCUCUGUAAUGAAUUUUUUAACUAUUGAGAACUUAAGUUUUGUCUUGCAAAUCUAUACUAGUACAAUAGUUUUAAACAAAAUUAAACAUUAAAAUAAAUGUUUGAAAAAGAACAAAAGUACAUUUAUCACUUGCAGUAAUGUAACAAAAUUUUCUCAACCAUUAUCAAUAUUUUCACAAAAGUAUUAAAAACUAGCAAUUGACAAUAUUAAAAACUAGCAAUUUAAUUAGUGACGACUUUUCUUGUCAUUAUAAUCUUGAAUAAAUUAGUGAUAACAUUAUGUCAUCACUAAAUUUUCUUUGAUUUUGACUUAACAAUAAUGUCUUAUUAAUAGCAUUUGAUUAUUUUUAAUGAAAGUCUGUUAUAACCAUAGAAUUUGACUUUCGUUAUUUUCAAUUAAUGAUGUACUUUAGUGCUGCAAUUAUAAAAAAUUGCAGGGCUAAAAUAUUUGCAAAUUAUAAAAGUAUAUUUUCCCUUAUAUGUAAUUAACAAAUUUUGCCACCUAUAUUGAUGAAAAUUUGUGUUUUUGUACUAAAAAAUAAAGAAUAAUACUAUAGCAAUAAAAUCUAUGCUUCAAACCAAAUUAAAAAUAAAAAAAGCAUGAUGAUUGGUCUCAAAUGUUGGGAAAAUGAUUAUUUUUAUUGAAACUAUGUUAUAACCAUAUAAUUUGAGUUUAAUUAUUUUCAAUUACAUGAUGUUCUUUAGUGCUGCAAUUGUAAGAAAUUAGUAUAAAAUAUUAGCAAAUUAUAAAAGUACAUUUUCAAUUAUAUGAAAUUAACAAAUUUUGCCACCUAUGUUGAUGAAAAUUUUUAUUUUUUGCUAAAAAAUAAAGAAUAAUACUAUAGCAUUAAAAUCUAUGGUUCAAACCAUAUUACAAAUCCAAAAAAAAACAUGAUUUUUGGUAUCAAAUGGAGGGAAAAUGAGUGAAGUCAAAAUUUUGAUCAAAUCAUAGUGAAAGUGCCGCGCAACAAAAACAAUAUCCAAAGCAAAGCAAAGACCAAAGCAGCGGAACACAUUCUGAAAACAAAAGCAACGGAACACUUGGUCUGAGUUAAAGCAACGGAACACUUGAGCAACACAAACUUUUACCGAGCUGAAACAAACAAGCUUCUGCACUGAGCACAAAACAGAGCUUCCGCACGGCACCUGAUACUUUCACCCACACAAGAAAAAUGGGGGGGGGUCUGAUGACAGAGAGAGCAAGAAAAAUGGGGGAAAAAGGCUUCGGCUGAGAAGAGGAAAAAGAAAGACAGGAGGAAAUAGAGGGAGCUGAAGGGAACAACGGGCGAGAGGAAAAAGAACAAUUAGAGAGGGGAGCUUGGUCUGAGGCUAGAGGAAAAACAAAGGGAAAGAAAGAAACAAAAAAGAAAAAGGGGGAAGAAAGCUUCGGGAGGUUGAGGAAAACAGAGAGAGUGGCGGCGGACGGCUGCUAAGGGUAGGAAACAAAAAGGAGGAAAAAGGAAAGCUACGGCGAGCUGAAAAGAAAGAAAAACAAAAAAUCAGAGAGGGAAGGUUUCAGAGGAGAGAGGAGUAAGCUAAGAGGAGAGGGCGGCGGAUAGAGCUAAGAAAAAACGGACAAAAGAGAGAAAGGGCUAGAGGAGAGAACAGGAAAGCGCAAAAAUGAAACAUAGGAAAAGAAACCCAAAGAAAGCAAGGGAGAGCUAGGGGCUGAAAGGAAGAAACAGAGAUAGAGGGAGCUUCGGCUGAGGUUUGGGGAAGCAGAAAAACAGAGGAAAAAGCCGAAAAACAGAGGAUAAGGAAAGGGAGGCGGCGGUAAGGAGUGAGAGAGGGAGGAAGUUGUCGGUUGGAGCAGAAACGAAAGCGAAGGAAAAACUAGAGGGAGAAAGACCAGGCGGAGCCGCCACAUUCCGUCGGAAUCCGCCACUGUCAUCCACGAACCUCCACCGUGAGAGAUCACUGUAAGUUAAUCUUCUCCUUUACAUUUCAGUUUUUUCAUUCGAAUACAAACUCUGAAAGUUUUCGGAGCAUGUCUGCCGAUGAACAUGCCAUGUUUGCUGUUAGUUUUUUGUUUCAAAUUUCAUGUCAAUUGUUCAUGGCUUUUUCUGGAUGUUGAUUGGACUGAAAUUUUGGGUUUGCUGAAAAUUUUGGGGCCAAUUAUAGCUUCAAUUGAGUAAGGAAGUAGUGAAGUUUCCAAUGCCCCUAACCUGUUCGAUGAAAUGCCCAACUGAGUUUUCUAAUUGAAAGAUAACUGGUCUGCAUUUUUACGUGUGAAAAAAUAAAUGAUGAACAUUCGGUUGGUUUUUUGUUUGUCCGAAUAACCAAAUUUUGGAUUGAAUGCCUGUGUUUCCGAUGGAUUUUUGGGGUUGAUUAACUUCACGUGUCCAGUUUUUGUUGUUUGCUUGGAGUGUGGUUCAGCUGAGCUACACGACUGCUAAUAAAAUAAAAUGGGUGGAGAGUUUGUUGGGUGAUUCUGUUUUGGUGACAUGUCCGGACUUUGAUAUGCUUUCUCGAAAGUGGUUGAGUUAGAAGUGGAUGUUCAUAUCAUGUAGCUGCAUUUUAUUUCUUCCUCUCCCUGUCCCAAGUUCACGCAUUUGAGUCUGGUUGAUGACUGUGAAAAUUUGAUUUGAAUAUCAUAUAUGUCAUUGAGAUUGGCUAGAUUUCUGCCAUUCGGGUUUGUUUCACUACCUGCUAUUCGGGUUUGUCUUUUGAUCUGAUGCUAUUCGGAAAAUGAUGCUUGGGGUUACAUGUUGUUGAUCCAAAGUUACAUAAAUCAAGCAUGUUUGGUUUUUUGAACUGUUUGGCAUGAAUAUAUCUAAGCUAAAAUGAAAGAAGCAAAAAGCUGCUGCAUUCUUAUUGCUGUUUUCCUCUCUGCUCACUGAGUUUUUGCACAUAAAUUGCUGUUUCAUCUUAUGUUGAAAGAAAAAAUGGAAUGUUUGGUGUUGAGUUUGCAUUUUUGGGUCCAAGAAAACAUAAACUAGCUUGAAUGUUGACCAAGUUAGCUAGAUUUCCCUAAAGAUCCAGAAUAGUGUAUGGUGUUUAUGUAUGCAAAUACAUGUUGGGAACAAAAAUGCAUGUCUAUGUAUAAUAAGCGAGUUAUGUUUGAAAUAAAAUAUGCUAAACAACAAAUGUUAGCGUGUGAGAGAGAGAGAGAGGAGAGACAAGUGUGCCUGAGAGAGAGAGAGAGAGAGAGAGAGAGAGUAUAUGUGAGAGGGAGAGAGUGUGUGUGUCAAAGAGAGAGAGAAAGUGUGCGUGAGAGAGACUAUAUGUGUGUGCGUGUGUGUGAAAGAGAAAGAGGCUGUGUGCAUGUAUGAAAGUGUGCUAGUAUGUGAAAUAAUAUUUUGGGUAAAAUACAAGGAACCUCCUUGUGGUUUCGCGAAAAGACACCUCACCCCCUUAUCGUUUAGAAACCUGCACAUAAACACCAUAAACUUCAUAACUAAAGUGGAAAUUACCUAUUCAACCGGCUUAGUUACCGGCAGAAGGUCAAAUACCCUGGCAGGAUGUCCAAUUCCUUCACAAAAAAGAAAAAAGUUACUGUCCAGGGAAACUAAUUUGUACAACGUCGACCAAAGAGAUAUCUGUGAUUCGACUUCACUCUCCCACCCGAUAUAAGCAUACAUAAGAGAGAGAAGGCAAAAGCGAAGAGAUCCGCAACACUCCUCCUUUCUCCAGUCUUGCAAUGGUAUCAGCAGCAUGCGACACCACCAAAGCAAAUUUGCUAUGAAUCAGAUUCUGCCAUACAGAUUGACAAGAAACGAGCUUUGUCAGGAAAAUUGGUGCUGAUAAUCACGUGAAUGCAGAUGUCAAAAAGAAAUGUUUGCCAAGCUUGAGAAGAUUGAAAAUAAGAGAUUGCAGCUGUUACGGACUUCGAAUCUGAGGAGAAGAAAGUGCAGUGAGGCUUGAGAAAGUGUAGUGAGGCUUGUUAAAACAGAGACCCAAUGCUUCAGGUCUGUAGGAACAACAUUGAUGAAAGAGGGAAUAUGGUAUCGCAAGAUUUUCCAUUCAAAUUUUUUAUUCUGAGUUUGAAUAUCCUUCAGAACACUCUGCAACAUGAGACGACCUUUAGUAGUGAAGACAUACCUUUCAUUGUUCAGAAAUGGGAGAGUUGAGUUCUAGCUUUACCAUGUCUGUCAUUGACUGGAUCCUCUGGUGAAAAAUUGCUAAAAUACAUAACCAGUUCAUUUUCCAUAUAUGGCAAGCAAAUUUAGUCAAUGAAAUUCCAUCUGGAAGUUGUAAAUUUUUAAAAACCAGAAGACACACGGAUCAAACACUUUAUCCAAAACCUGUGCCCACUUAAAAAGCAAAAAGACAAAAAAAAAAGGAAUUAGCAGAAGUUGAAAUACUGGUCCUGCAGAUUUAUUAACUAUUUGUAUUUGUAGCCCUGGGUUAGUUCUUCACUACAUUAAUUUCGAAGAGAUCGGUUAAUUUUGGCUCAGAUCUGCUUUAGCCUUUGGAAUUUGUUUGAACCUUGCCUGAGUGUAGCAGUCAAUGAAAUCCGAUGUUGUAAUUUCGAUUCUUUAAUCUGUAGUGGAUUACUCUCCAUUCAUGGGGAUCGAGAAGGGUGCUGUUCUGCAGGAAGCGAGGGUCUUUAAUGAUCUUCAAUUGGAUCCUAGGAGAUGUUCACAGGGUCCAAUUCCUUCCACUUUAGUAAUGAAGUUUAAGGUGUUUAUGUGCAGGUUUCUAAACGAUAGGGGAGUAAGGUGUCUUUUCGCGAAACCACAAGGGGGUUUCUUGUAUUUUACUCUAAUAUUUUUGAUGAAUAAUGUUACCCUUAGUUGCUCUUUCAAGCUGAACUGUUAACUUCAGUAUAGAAGUUGUCUGAACAAAACCAAACUGGCUUGGUUAUGUGAAUUGGCAGUUCACUUGGGCAGUUUUCAACUAUAGCAAAAAGCGCCAUAUUAAUUAGCUCAUUCUCUAGUUUGAUUAGAUUGGAAAUGGAAAAUACUCUAUUACUUGAUAUAAUAUGGGAUUGUGAGUGAUUAUAGAAUAAAAUCUAAAUUGCGUUAAACAUUUAACCUUGUUAUAUAUGUGAUAUUGCCUUACGACCUCUGUUUCUUUUGUUUCAUGUAUAUUGAUUUAAUUUUCUGAAGAUGGGAUCUCAUUGGAAACAAAUAUUGAAUGAUCUAGUAUGACGUCUCUCAUGUGUAAAGAAAGUGUAAACCUCUAGAGUUAUAAUAUUAGUUCUACAAUGAUUUUCUAUUCGAACUGUAGGAGCAGCAAUUAUAGGUAGAUAUCUCCAAAAAGAAGGGACACCCAUUUUAAUAUAUUUUUAUAAGAGGCUUAAAGUGCAAAUGGUUUUGUACUUGACUCCGGAUUUGUGUAUUAUCAAUUCUGUACAAGUUGCCGCAUUUAUUUAUUUAUUUUUUUUCACUUUAUGGUCUGAGAUGGUUCCUCACUAGACUGGCCAAAAGGUGGGGGGUCUUCAAGGGGAAGAGAUAAGACAGCCGAGGAGGUGAGGUGAAGGGAGAGGAAAGAGUACCUAGCAAACCUUGAGGGAAUCCAGUCUAACUUAAUCCUUUUGUAGUUGGUUGAAUACAUUUUGAUAUUACGCAUUCAAGUGAACCUUUUUAACUCUUAUACCACAAGUAGGAAACUUUCUUACGUGAUUUACACAUUAUUGGAACACUAGCUGUAUGCGAAACUUUUGUGUUUGGACGCAUACUCAUUGAUUGUUGUAUCGUAUUGUUAUAUAAAAGAUCAGAAAUUUUUUGGAAGCAGAUCUGGCCGUAUUUAGAAUGGUAAGGAAAACUGAGGAUGACCUUUGAGAGGUGAGAGAAGUAAUGAUUAAAAUAAGCUAAAAAAGAAAAAAAGGAAAUAGGUUAUGCUUCGUUCAUCAGGUUCCUUGUGCAUAAGAUUUGUACAUGUGCUAAAUGGUUAUCUUCUGGAAUAUGUGCUUGUAACAGUACAUAUUUCUGAUUUACCGGUUAUUCUUGUGGAGAUCCUCUUAGGUUAGUUUAACUAGACAUAUUACCAACAAUAUGGUAAUAGCAUUUUUUGGGCCUGAUGUUAUGCAUCAUUGUUAUCUGAACUUAUUCUUUGGGAAAUAUCUAGGUAUCAUGUAUAUAGUGCUGUUAGUUUAUCAAUAGAGAGGUAAAAAUCUGAUUGUUCAUCUGCAAUAGUAUAUUAUUUCCAAGUACAAGCGACAGACCAUGCAUGGAUAGCAAUCUUCUUUUUGCCUAUGUAGUGACUUGAAAGAAAUGAAUAUAAUGCAAAGGGGGCGUUUGUGAACUUUGAUUGGUUUCACCAGUUUAGAUGGUCUUCACUUUCACAUUGUGAGGCAAAUAGCUCAUUCUCUUUGCACAGUUUAAUCCUACAGAGGCAUCGUUUCCUUCAUGAUUUAUGAAGCAUAAACUCCUAAAAUCAAAGAGGGCUAGUACCUCCUGUAUUCACACCUCGUACAAUAAGUUGCUUUCUGUGUUUUAAUAUAUAAACAACCAAAAGCAUAAAGAUUAAACAAUAAUUACUGUGGGAGUCCAAUUUAAUUGUUCAAUAAGUUGAGCUAUUUAAAGAAGAAGAAAGAAAAUUAAAAAAAAAACUGUUUUAGAGAGCUCUUUAGUUGAGCUUAUGCAGUGUUGUAUUUGUAUAGAUUGGACUGUGAUUUCUAACUUCUUGCUGGUGUUGUAAUAUGUGGGCCCAAAUUAUAUGAGGUUCUUAAUGAAUUGUAAUUUUUGUCUUAAUAAUCUAAGUCUCAUUACUUGUUCUUUAUUAUUGUACUCCUCCCCUUACCUACUUCUUUUACUCUUUUAUGACAGAUAAAUGCUAUUUAUACUAGCUUUUGGAAGAUAUCUAUGGUUAUGGUUGAAGAAUGUUGAAGACAAAAUUGCCUUUUGCUCAUGGAGUGGUUCAUUUAGAUGUUCUUCAAUUUCUUAAACUGUGAUUGCUUUUGUAAAUGUACCUUAUGUACAAGUGAUAUUUUGAACAAAUGUUAUUUUUGUAGGCAUUAGUUGGAUAAUGUACACUUGAAUUUGGCAUUUGAGAAUGCUAUAUUAUUACCAUGUAAUCUAAUGCAAAUACUUUUGGUUAUCAAUCGUUCAUGUUUAUUUGUAUGGUUUGUUUAAAAUCAAUGAUUUAGCAAUGAUUACAAGCCAAAUUAUGACUAUUAAGCUAUUGAGAAAUUAUCUAAUGACAAAAAAAAGUUGUCACAAAAUAGAAAAUAAAAACUCCUUGUGACAACAGAGACUGUCACUAAAUCUAAGCUACAUUUGUGACGACAAUUGUUGUCAGUAAAAUAGUUAUAUACAAUGGCUUUCGGUGCUUUUUAGUGACGACCUUAAGUAGAGUAUUUUUGAUUAAAGGUCAAUUCGUCAAUAAAACACUUCCGGAUUGUCGUCACUAAUGACAACUAUUUAGUGACGACCUGAAAUGUCGUCACUAAAUAGUUGUCAUUAGUGACGACAAUCCGGAAGUGUUUUAUUGACGACUUGAUCUUUUGUCAAAAAUGCUCUACUUAAAGUCGUCACUAAGGAGAACUAUUUAGUGACGACAUUUUAGGUCGUCACUGUUUACUUUUACCGACGGGGAUUUAGUGACAACUUUGUGACGAUCAAAAAGUCGUCAAUAAAAGGUAUUUGUGACAAUAUUUGUAUGUUCUGUGAUGACUUUGUGUUGUCACUGAUGAACAAUUUUCUUGUAGUGGGUGCCGACUGACUUCUUUGAUAGGAGCAAACUUGGGGAACUAGGCACUUCAUUUAGCUAGUAAACAACCACCUGAAGGUAACCCAAAAACUUCCGCCUAGCACUUAGCAGGAUUUUAGAUUUUUGCAGCUUUUGGUUCUUGAAAUUUUAGCUUGCGUUGGUGAAACUUGUUGGGUUGCUGAUCCUCUAAGCUAAUGAUUGAUGAAGCUAGAGGUGUUUUAUGUGUUUAUAUGUGUGUUUUGUGGUGGUUAAAUGUUGGAAAAUUUUUAAGAAUGAAAAUGGGGUGCUGGCCGGAUGAGGAAGCAAUUUUCCAGCUUUGUUACCGGUUGUUGUUUUGCAAUUUUUGCUUAGGUAAUGAACUGGAUUGCUUGUUAGGAGGAUAGACUGAUUAGUUGUGAUUGUUAUGGACUUAAAGUAUGAGUUAUAAGUUGAGAAUGGUUGAGCAAAAAGAGGAGCAAAUUUCUGCUCUGCUAUAGCCGCACAAACAGGCUUGAUUUUCUUCUUUUUUUUACCCAAUUUUUUUGAGCUGGAUUUUGUGAAGUUAUUGAGCUAUUUAAAUCAUGUAUAUGUUCACUUAUAUGUGUAGAGUAGUUUUGGUGAAAAUUCAGCUUUGGUACAAUGGGAAAUUUCAUUGAAAAAUCAAAGAGAAAAAAGCCCCUUGAGCUGUCCAAAAAAAAAAAAAAAAUUCUGGAAAUUUCCAGAUUUUUGGGCGAAUUUUGGGGUUUGGUUUUGACAAGUUUUUGAACCAUUUGAGCUGUAAACAUGUUAACCUAUAUGUGAAGUAUUGUUUGGGUAAAAAUGUAGCUUUUGAGUAAUUGAAAAAUUUUGGACAAAUUGAAGAGAAAAUGGUCUGCUUGUACCAAAUGCACUUGGAAAUUUUUCCAGCUUUGCAUGAGACAUGUUGAAUGAUUUUCACGUUAACAUGAACCCAAUUUGACUUGUGUUUAGUUAAGGGGUGUGUAUAGCUCAAUUUGGGACAAAAAUCUAGUAGAGUUUACGUCCAAAAAGUGGACCAAAAUUUUAUUCUUCACGAGGCUACCCAAAACAGAAAUUUUGUUUGAAAUUAGAAAUGAUUUUGACGUUUGGAUUUCGUUUUGGUUAAAUGUGGACUAAAUUGUCCCGAAAAUGUUUUCUAGCAUUAACCUUUGUUACUAGGUCCACUUCGAGUCAAUAACCUUGAAUUUUAUUAGACCAAAUGCCCUAUUUCGAGAAAUAUGCCAAAUUUGGAAAUUUCCUUGAAAACUCAAGUUUUUGCCUUCAUGAAAAUCCUUGAACCAAGUUGGUCAAUGGAAUUUGGCAAACUUAAGGAGUUUCUAUUUUAUAGAAAUUCCAACGACUAGUUUUACUUGGUUUAUAUGAUUUCCUCUUAAAGGAAUUUUCCAAGAUAUUUUUGGGGAAAAUUAGAGGGGAAAAUUCCUCUAAAUGGUUAAAUGUGAUUUUUCUCAACUUGUGACACCAAAGUGGUGUUAAUUGCUUAUAUGACUCUAGAACUUGGUUAUUGGAAUAUUUGACGAAUUUAGCAAGUUUUUGGUUUUAAAGAAAUCUCAAAAUUUAAUUUCACUCGAAAUUCGUGGAUUUCACCUUAAGAAAACGAUUAGUGCUAGUUUGGGAUUUUUGAGUGAAAUUAAAUGCUAGUUGACUCGAGUUAAAUUCGCCAAAUCAAAAGUGGAAAUUUAUGUGAAUUAUUUGUAUGAUUUUAGGAGUUGGUGAAGAGCACAAUCUCGAUCAAAGUUUGGAAUUCUAGACUCUUCACUUGAGGUGAGUGUCUCUUGCAUGAAUCGUGUUUAACUGCUAGUUGAACUACUUGUUAAAAGUACUUGCUAGAGAUAUCAUGAAAUGUUAUAUGCUAUGUGAUUGCGUGAAAUGCCACAAGUACAAGUGUUGCAAUGUCGAUUGGAGCGUGGUCUCGUCGACUAAAUAAACCAAACGGAUGCACAUACCACGCUCUAUUAGAGUGGGAGGUACCUCUCUGCCGUCUUGGUAAAAGUGCUUGCAAAAUUCGUGUUGGAGUCGGGCCCGAAAAUAAGGAGGAAGUCGUUGCUAGGAGACGUGUAGAUUAGGGAAAUGUCUACAUGGAGAUUAGAUAGUGAAAGUUGACGGAGUGUCAACUACUAUAAAUUACCUGAUCAAGCGCGAGGACUUUGGCUCCUGAGAGCCCCGUAUCCUUUUCUUGUCAUGUUACUUCGAUUUUCUAAAUUGUUAAUUGCUUACUUGUCCAUUUGUACUUGUUAAAUUGCCCUAUGUGAAUUGCAUGUUUCGAGGCACCAUUGAGCUAUUGGCUCAUCCCUUCCAAUUUGUUUUCCUUGACAGGUUCUGAGUUGCAUGAAGUCUUGGAGAACUAGAAAAGAAAUGUUAUAUUUUGAAUGCCCACUUUUGUAUAUGUACUUUGGGAAAACUUUAGUAUCUUUUGGAUGACUUUUGUGUCUUUGGGAAAAUGUGAAUCCUGUGGUGCUUCUGUGCCCUGGAUUAGGAAUUUUAAAUUGUAAAUUAAGUUGAAUUUAAGUAUUUUAAGUUAGACAUUUUCUUUGAUGCUUGAAAUUGUACUUUUGGACAGAGUAAGUUGAAUGGUACGGUUUGUUUAAGUACUUGGCUUAUGCGAGAAGUAAAGUUUAUUUACGAAUUAUAUUUGAUGAUGUUAGAUGAUUGAGUGAGUGAGUCCCGGCGAGAGCUGGGCAGGCGACUCGCCGAACCCUCUGGUUCGCCUUAGGGGGAGGUGGGGCCGCCACAUAGUAUAUACAGUAUGGUUGAUUCGGAAGUUCUUUGGUACACUAAACAACAAAUGAUCAAACAUCCGAGUUCAUCAAUUUCCCAAAUACCAACCAUGAAUAUGUGCAAUUUCAGAACUGAACUCAAAAAACCUUCCUCACCACGGACCACUACAUAUGCACAUCUACUUCUGAUUGAGGGAAUACUACAUCAACAGCGUCAAUAUAGAAAUGAACAUGCUCAUCUACCUCGAGUUCAAGACUUUCGCCUAAUUCAAUGAUGGAAACAAAACAAGAUUCCUUCUUCAUCUCCUUCCUAUAAAGAAGUAUCAUCUUCCUUCUUCCCCUCCCGAAGAGGGGCAGCAGAAUGCUCCUCCUCAAGCGGUGAAGUGGUGAACACUCAACCUAGCACAAUGUGGUGGUUUUUGCCCCACAGUUGCGAGCCAAAGGGUAGCAUUGGACUAUGACCAUGAUAUUGAGAAGGAAAAUAAUGGUCAGGCAAUCCCUCAACUUUACUAUAGAAUGGAGCAGGUCCUUCAAAUAAACUCUUGUCAAAUACGCGGUAGCCAAAAACACUGAUGCCGAAAGUUUUGAACAAGUAAUUCCAUUCCACACAAAAGGGAUAAUAAUGAACCAAUCACGAUUGUCGACAAACCUUGAACACUUUGUCAACCUCUGAAUCGUAACACACAACAGCAACUUGAUCACCAGCACCGAUAGGAAACAGGACGUAGUGCUGAGAGUCAACUUUUUGAUCCAAGGGAGGGACGGAGAGAUCCUUCAAUGGGAGGUUCACCAACAGGAAAUUUACAACUUAGAGGAUGCUGCUAGGGUUGGCUAAAUGACUGAUCCAAAUACUUGCCCCAUGGAUUGCCUACCUCAUUUCCUAAGGACAGAGAUUCUGCUACCCCUGAUUGCUUGGUGAGUGGGCAAAAAUCUCCGUGUGCAAUCAAGGAAGGACCUUUGAAUCACCCAUUCUCAAGCUUGGAAGGGCUUGGAGGCGUCGUAAAAGUAAACUGUGCAAUCCUCUUAAUCGUCAGGCUUCAUGACAUAAUUAGAACCAUCUUCAGCAGGGUGAAAAUUGAAUCCUACUAGACCAUAAAUUAGGGAUCCACAGGAACCAAAAGUUACCUCUAAGCCUAAAACUGGCAUUUAAUUCUCGAUUUUCCGAGCGCGGAGUUUACCACCACCAGCGGUCUGUGAUAAGUUGACUACAUACCAAACCAACUCAAAUUCUCUGCCAAACCGACUACAUACCAAAAUUGGUACAUAGUUUAAGUCCUUCAAUUUUUUGGUCAAACUUAUGUUUUAAUCCUUUGUGAAUAGAGGAAGCACAAUCAUAUUUUUUUUUACUUUUCAAGUUAAUUAAUGAACAAUAUGUCCUCUACUCUUAGUGCAUUUUGAUACUUAUUUUCUAAACAUGAUUUCUGUAAUUUUGAUACUCAUAGAUAACUAAAUAAUCAAGCCCUAGCUAGCUGAAUGUACCGUGUGAUCCAAGAUAUUUUGCUCCAUUAUCUACCUUAAUGGGGAAGUUAAGACACCAUAAUAUCUACAUGUUUUUAUUGUAAGAACCAAAUUACAAUAUCUUUCUUAUUCUUUCAUCACUUUUGUGAUAAAGAAAAGAAUUGUUUGUUGUUCUUCUCCAGUUCUAACACUGUACAACAAAAUAGGGCUGUUGAAAGAAACAAUAGACAGUAAAAUAACACAAGUUCUUAAAACUUGUACGACUUUUUUAGAGUACAUUCUGUUCAUGCAAUCACAAUUAAUUUUCUAAUGAAAUGAAGCUAUCUGUUAGUUUUUUAGAGGGAAAUCCCAUUUCAUCUUUUCUCUGCCUUCUAAUAUUUUGGAUUGCACAAUUUUUCUCCAGCAAUUCUUUGUAACUUGCAAUCCACCAAAUCUUGCCUUGAACUCUACUCUUGUAUUAAGAAGCCAAAACUUUCACAGAUACACACCUCUCACAUAAACUAUUUGUAGCAAACUGGGUGGGUACACAGAAAAUUUUGCUAAAGGUUUUUUUUUUUUCAAGAAGAGGGGGGGUGGGUGGUUGAGAGUUUAUGCGUAUGGGCAGUAAUAGAGCCUUACACAAACUCAAACUAGCCUAAAUAAGUAUGUCACAGGGAUGGAGCUACCAUAAGGUAUUUUCUUUACCUUCCCCUUCUAUUAACUUCUCAUUCCCUUUCUUUAUAGUAACAUAUUUUUUUUUUAACUAAACUUGUUCUUAUUAUUUCAUGCAUAUAAGUCAUAUUACCUAUUCUUCAGACAAAUCCCCAGCCUCUUCAUUUUCUUUGUAGAUUUACAGGUACUUGUAUAUAUAUAUAUAUUUGAGGGAUUUGCAGGUAGCUAUACAUUAUAAUUUGCAUUAUCUGUAGAAGCAUGUGUAUAAACUAAAAUACCAAACUUAAACUAUUACCAGGUUCUCCAAAGUCAUCGGCCGCAUCUUUCCUCUCCAUAUUGCUGCCAAGUUCCUCAUCCGUACUUACUGAUAUUCUCAUCCUUUUAGCUGACAUAUUCGCAUCCAAACUUUCAAAACCUUCAGCAUUUAGACCACUCAAAGAUCUGAAAUACUGCAAAGAGUAUUUAACCAUAUAACUGGUCAACAUCUCACAAAACAUAAAUGUGACUUAACUUGAAUUAACCUAUAUAGCUUUACAUACACAACACAUGUAAGCAAAUGUACUGCAGCUAGGUAACAAGACACUAAACUGAUUAAUACACUUUACACCCUCUAGAUGCAAGCAGGCUUUCCCACUGAGAUACUUCAUAUAUAUGAAAUUGGAUGAACCGAUCAGAUCAACUAAACCCCAAAAAAAAGUAUGAUGGUGAAAAAUAUCAUUCAUGCUGAUUCUGCACAAGUUUAGUUGCAUAAGUAUAUAAAAGCCAAUGGCAAUUGUCUUCAAUAAUUGGAUUUCAUUUAACUGCAAUUUCUCUACUAACAAUCACAUCAAACAAUUAUGUCAGAAUUGCUCCCAAACUCGAGUAUUCUGCCACUAGACCAUCUGUUGUACAAUCAAUUUCUGAUUUAUCCUUGUGCUAAUUGUCACUCUUUUAAACAAGAUUUCAUAAAUUACUACAGCUAUUAAAAUGGAACCUAAUUAGAAAAAAAGUUCUAAUGCAAGAUGCAUUGUUCUAAAAUCAAAAGUGCUAAAAGUCAAUCAGAUUUUGUACAAAUUAAUGGAAAAAAAACCAUAAAGAAUGAUGAUAGAUCACCAUCAGCUAGACCAGACGCUAUUUUUCCGCCAGUUUUCAUGAGAAAACCAUUUACCAAGAAUAGCCAAGCAUAAAAAAUUCACCAAUGAGUAACUUUAACUCAUUCAUGGAUGGCCUAACAAACCAGGGUGUCUGGGUACGUGUACGGUGGAAGAUGCAGAAUGUACUGGGCUUCAGCUGCAGGGACCAGAAUAUCUUAUGGUAGGAACUUGGGGCAAAGAACCCCAACAUUUCAAUUAAGAGCCCUUCCAUCAAAGUCAAUGUAUAAGCCCAGGGUCCCAAACAACGGCCGAAGUGUUCUCCACUGCCAGUUUGUCAAACACUCUAAAACACGUAAAUACCUAUAAGCUACUAAAGCACCACAAAUUUUAAGUCUACUGAAAUACGUAAAACUUCAACUUCUAAUGAAUACCUCAAGAUCCUAAAAAGGUUACCCAUUGUUCGAAGUAGGUAAACUCAAUAUUCAGCCAAGUUCCCGUGAUUGUGUAGAUCUAAUCUUCCCUUAAACUCUUUAUUGGUUACAUCAGUCGUGAAUAGAAUGUCCUAAGAAAACAUUCAGUUUGAAGCCCUAAGAAAACAUUCAGCACACACAGCUUUUAUAAAAACUCCAUUAAGUCAAAAGAAUAGAAUGCCGCAAACACUAGAUGCACACCUUCCCAUUCUCCUAGUCGGUUCACUCUUUGCCUCCCUUUUGCAACACAUAAAGGUCCAAAAAAUAAAAAUGAUACAAGCUUUGCAAAGGACUUCAAAUAUAACUGAAACUCAUUCAUUUCUUUCACAUGGUAAUAAGCCUCAGCAAUGCUUGGCUUCUGGUGUAAAUAUAUCCAAAAACAAUUCCUAAAUCAUCUGCCACAAGUUUUUAAGCUAACUCUAAAUCAUCCACCUAUUAUUUGGUUCCUUAUAGCCCUAGAAUAGUGCAACAUCUCAUGCUUAUACAAGCUCCUUUAAGUAUGAACAAAAGACAAUCAUCCAAAGCUGCUGCAACGAAGAAUGCCUUUCUAUUGUUAAAAGCAAAAAUGAUGCUUACAUAUCUACUUCUCAAGAGCUCAUGCUACAUGACUGGCAAUCAGUGGAGUAUAUAAUACAUGCACGUGAUAUCUGAUGACUCAAAUCACUUACAAAAUUGAACUCAACGUUUUCUCCUCCAAGAAUUAUGAUCACUUAAGACCAUGUCAUUCUCUAGAGAAAUAUAAUCAUACCCUUAUUAAUUUGCUUUUAUAUUUAUAAAUUUUUUCUUACAGUAGAAAAUAUUGCAUAUCUUAUAUCUAUUGUUUUUGUUUUAUUUUCAAAGAAAACAAUGCAAAGCUUCCAUAUUAGUAAGGUGAAUUUCUUCUUAACCGAAAUGAGUUGUGUACAAGCUUAAGCUAACUAUGUAUCCAUAAGCCUCUCCAAAUUUGAGGAAAAUGGUAACUAAUUCAUAUAUAUACACUGGAAAGAUAUGGGUAAUAAAGAACUUAACCAGUGUUGCAUUUUGGAUGAUGAAUCAUGUCAGUUAGUCAAGAAGGCACAGCAGACUUAAAUGGAGUCAUUUGAUUGAACCAAGUGACAAAUGACAGAGUGAGCAAUGCAAGGGGAAUAAGACAUGUAAACAAGGAAUAAACCAUAUUAAUCUGUGACCUAACGAUGCACUAAUUACAAAUAAAUGGAUGAAGUGGAAGAUCAUAAGCAAAAAAAUUUCAAGCCAGUUACUAGACUCAGAUGUUAAUAACCUAUUGGCAGGAUGAUUGACAUCUUGUCCUUUCGUUUGUCUGCCAACUGAAAUCUUAAUCAAGUUUAGAACCCAAAAAUCAUAACAGAAGGAAACUGUGUCGACUGCAUUAUUUUCUCAGUUUUCUCUCAAAUGAAGGCUAUUAGCAUUACACUUCAGUUCCAAACACUUCUCACAUUUAAAAUAGUAAACAACUUUAAAUUGUUUGUUUUUCCCCCCUCCUUAAUACCUAACACAUUCGAACAACACAAUAUGUCUGUGCCUACCUGCUGCAUAGCUCACCCACUUCGCCAAACUUCAUAAGUUUUAUCUAUUAGUUGCCAUCCCAUUUGCUGUUUACUUAUGCUUGAUAAUUCAAUAUCUCUUUGUUUAGAAACCAAUUCCAUAACACUGCUGCUUUUCAUCUUACACCAAAACAUUUACAGCUGCAAACAGUGGCGGAACUAGGAAUUAACUUUGGGGGGGCGAGUCUAUAGCAAUGAAAGUAAAAUAUAUUUACAAAAAAAACAAUGUGAACAUAUAUACCACAAGAUUAGAAACAACCUUAUAUAGAAUGAAAAUUACUUAUACGCUUCACAUAUACAAAAAUAUCAUCAUAUUUACAAAUCUGUUUGACUGUGUGGGACAUAUGAAAUUGUGCACGACGACUUUUAAUUUUAUCAAAGUCAUCAAUGAUUGAAUUUAUAUCAAAAGUUCUAGCAAUUUCUUUCUCAAUAUACAUUAUCAUAGAGUUGGCAAGAAAGUCUUCCUUCAUCCUAGAACGCAAACAGGUGUUGAUGAUUUUCAUAGCAGAAAAUGCAUGCUCUGUUGUGGCUGUUGAAACAGGAAGAGUCAAAAUAAGACGAAUCAAUCUAUUAAUAAGAGUAUAGCACAUUGACUUUCUUGUCUUUGCUAACACUUGGCACAACUCCUGAAGUGAUGACAAAUUUUGAAACUGAGAAUUACAGGAAAGCUCAAUCUGGAAAAGCUCUAAUUGAGUUCUUAAGUGUAACUUCUCUUGAUCUGUGAAGUCAGCUAAAUAAAACUUGUUUGCAAGUUGACAAAUUUGUUCAAUAUUGAAAGCCUGAAAAUUAUCUUUGGGAUGCAAUGCUGAACUAAGAAUAAGCAACUCUAUUACAUCUUCCUUAAACCUAUUCUUCAUUUCAAGUAUUUGAGAAUCAACCGUUGCCAAAAACACAUCAAUCCUGUAGUGAUGCUCCAUGGUAAUUGGAUCAUUUUGUUUUCGAAUUCUUCCUCGACCUGCUUUAUAAAUGACAUUCAUACCAGGCAUCUCUUUAUUUCGUGCAUCACAAAAUGUCUUUACAUUGGUGAACAACUCAUUCCAUCCAUUAUCUCUGCAACUUUGAAGUCGAUCAUUUGUUACUGAAACCAACUUAAGGGCAUUCAAAAUAUCUUGAGAUUUGCAUUGUAAAGAUUGAGAAAGUACUUGUGCAAAUCCUAAAAUGUCCCUCAUCAUAUGCAUAACAAGAACAAAAUCAAAGGAUGUCAUGAAAUCGUAAACUCUGUCAGCUUCAUUUCUUUGAGUUGAUGUAUUUCCAUAAUUGAUAACAUCAAUUAGGAUAGAGCAAAUGUCUUCAUAUUCUGUGAAUAAGCUACAGAUAGAACUAAAAUGAGACCCCCAUCUUGUAGUCCCUGGCCGUUUUAAGAUACCAAUCUGAUUCAAGUUCAUCAAUAGCAAUCAAUUCAGCAAUUCUAGCAGUUCUAGCAACUCUAAGUUGGUCCACCCAUUUGCAAGAAGAUGAAAUUAAAUUUAUAAGAAGAGAUAAGUAUGUAAAGAAUUGUUCCACAGGAAUUACCUCUUGAGAUGUUGCUACCAAUGUUAAUUGCAGUCGAUGAGCAAAACAGUGAAUAUAAUAUGUAUAGGGGCACUCUUGAAUAAAUAAUACUUGCAGUCCAUUCCAUUCUCCACGCAUGUUACUAGCUCCAUCAUAUUCUUGGCCACGAAUGUUUUGCACACUAAGAUUAUGACGAGAAAGGACAUCACAUAACUCCUUCUUCAAAGUCAAGGAAUUGGUUUCGUGCACAUGAACAAUGUCAAAAAAUCUCUCUCGAAUAUAGCCUUGCUUGUCCACAAAUCUAAAAACAAUAGCCAUUUGCUCUCUUUUUGAUCUAUCUUGAGCCUCAUCAACAAGUAUAGAAAAUUUUGAAUCACUAAUCUCCUCUCGAAUAUACUUUUGUAUCUUGCUCGACCAAAUGGACAAUAUCUCCUUUUGGAUCGCAGGAGAAGUAUAAGAUGCAUUUUGAGGAGCAUUAUCAAGGACUACAGCAGCCGCUUUUUCAUUAUAAGAAGACACAUGCUUGAUCAACUCAAUAAAAUUACCUCGAUUGUUAGAAUCUAAACUUUCAUCAUGACCCCUAAAAGCCACCGCUUGAAAUGCACACCAUUUUGCAGCAUCUAUGAAAACUUGAAGGUGCAACUGAUUUUUUGCAACCUACUCAGAAUUUUGCUUCUCAAUAAUUUUAUCAAGAUGUUGCAAUGAGUUUCCCAAAUCAUGAUAGCAUUGCAUUGCCACUUUGUGUGAUGAGUUAGGAUCUUUUCCAAUGUGAUUUAAAAAAGAACAAUUUUUUCCAUCAUUUACCUUCUUCCAUGAUCUAAAUCCACUAGUUGUGAAGGCCAUUGAUCCAAAACGGUCCGUUGGCUUGGAAAAAAGUGAGCAAGGAAAACAAAAGGCAGCAUUCUUUGUUGGAGAAAAUUCCAACCAAUCUGGAAACAAUUUAUACCAAGAGAAAAGGAAACGUCGGCCCUUCUUGUCAACAACCAUUGAUUCAAUCGGAAGCUCAGGUUGGUAUGGCCCAAACUUAAUAUAUGCUCUCCGUACCUCAUCCCUUUGAUGCUCUAGAUAUUCCCAAAUGGAUUUUCGCUUUCCAGGAUCACGUUCUAUGGAUGAAAAAAGAAUCAAUUGUCCUAUUGGCCAUUACCACUACAUUUGUAACAAAACAACAACCUGUAAUAGAAAUAAAAUUGAUUGAGAAAUGCUGGUUAUGGCCUAGAGAGAUGGGAAUUUGACCAAUGCAAAAGACUGGUUUCCCUAAUUCCCUUACAAAUUUCGGCCAUUCAGCCUGACUGAAAAGUCCGGCCAUCACCCAAGGAAGCCAACAGGAUCCUUAAAAUAAAAUUAGUAUGAAAAUUGGAAAAGAAAACCACUCUCAGAAUCAACUAAAAUAAAUGCUUAUCACCCAAAUUCAGAAGGCCAAGUACGAAAAACAAUAGAAGUCCCUCUCGAGCAAUUCAUCAAACAACGGGCGGGCGAACUUUUUACACCCACAUUUCACUAAAUAAAUGCAAUGUCAAACUAACCUGGUAAAUGGUAAUAGCUACAAUAGUCUGAAAUGGUAUUGAUGAUCAGUGUUAGUUUAUCUGGCAUUGCAACUUACAGGUCAAUUUAAGCAACCAAUGCCUAAUUCAUUAACCUGCUCUGAUGAUACAAUAAUAUGAAACAACCCCUUUACUUCCUGAAAAAAAAAGACACGUUCAGCAAAUGCUAAAAGAAAAAUUACCUAGACCAUGCAAAAUGCAAUGGUACAAUCCUUAGUCAUGUGCGAGGGAAGGUCUUCACAGGAGAAGAUCAAUUCCAGUAAUUAAUGAUGUAUCGUUUGAGCAGAUUUGAUACAUCUCUGCGGAACAAGGUGAGAAGAUUUUGACGUUUCUACUUUCUAGGAAGAAGAACUGUAGCAGAGUCAAUAGCCAGGUUAACUAGCUAUCUUUUCUUUGUACUUGUAUGAAGUCCGUUAAGAAAAGUGGCAAUUCUCUGUUAUUUGGACCAAAUCCAAAUAACUUUCAAACAUUAUUGUUUGGGCCCUUGGGGGGGCAAAGUGAAUUUUUUGAUCAAUUUUUGGGGGGGGCAAAACAUAAUAAUAAAUUUUUUUUUACUUAGAAAUUUUUUUUUAACAAUUGGGGGGGGGGGGCGGUUGCCCCCCUAGCCCCCCUUCUCUCCGCCCCUGGCUGCAAACACAUUAUACAGGCAAUUCAAGUCCAAUAUAGUCUCGUUCACUUACAAAUAUCCCAAGUUACCAAACUUGGCCAGAAAUUAAGAAUCCCACAAAACCAACUUCAGUAAUCCAAUUCAACUGUCCUGAUUCUUAAGUCAGCAUGAAUUUUCUUUAUGUCUAAAAUUUCCUUAUUUUGGCAUUGAAAACUGGAAAGAACUAAGAUAGCAGAAGUUAUUACCCUUUCAAGAAUUGAAGUGGCUUCUUUUGUUGUACUCUUUUCCCUCUCCGCUAACAAAGAAAACAUUUUUUCUUUCCAAUCACCAUAUUGCCCAUACUAACCCAAAUAAUGAAAUUCAAAAUUUUCAAAAACCCAGAUGCAAAUUCCAUAAAUAAAUGCGAAUGAAGUAUGAAAAUAACAAAACAGAAAAUUAAAGAAAAACUUUCUACAUAGGAGGGACGGGAAGAGAGGCCUUACUGAUGGGGCAGGAGAUAGGAAGCCGGAGUGGGAAUGAUUGAGGAGAGAAGAAGGGGCGUUGUAGUCAAAACGAUGAAUUCUGAUCAUUCAUAGUAGAGUUCUGCUCUCAGGACUUCAGCUCCUUCUUGGUUUUCAGUUUCACUCUCACUGCUUCUUCUGCUCCUCUGUGUUGUCCGAAGCUUUUCAGCAAUUUUUAUGAGUCUACAGGCCAGGGUAUGUUUCAUUUCCAGUAUUUAUCUCACCCCCCGGGCCCCCUUCAAAUUUGGGUAUAAACGAGUUUUUAUAAGACAAGUUUUUUGUCAAGUUUGUCUGCUACAAGUUUUUUAAAAACUUUAGUUACAGUAAUUUCAAAAAUUUUUAAACUAUACACUUCAAAAUAUUCAAAACAAACACACUUCAAAAAUUUUUUUAAAAACUUCUACAGUAAGUUACAGUAAAGUUUUAGACAAAUACCCAAAAAACUCACUUGCCAAACGGGGUCUAAAGUUUACUAAAAGCAUACUACUGUUUAAUUCUUAAAUUUUUUAGCCAAGUUCUAACCCUAAAGAAUUCCUUACUCAGCAUUAGCAUAAGCAGGGAUCUUUUCGGUUUAUUCUUCGCAUGAAGCAAUUUUAUUUGUUUGGUUGAAGGUAGAUUUUAAAUCUUUAAAGGGCGGGAGAGGAGUGGUGGGAAUAGGGGGAUAGCAAAUGAGUCAAAUAAAAAACUCUUAAAAUCUCCUGGGAAGAGGGAUGGGUUGGAGGAAACUUCACUCAUCUCUAGUAAAUUCUUUUUCUAUUUUUCGUAGUGCAUAUCUGAAUGCACGACACGCGUUUUUAUUUAUUAACAAGGGUUAGGAUUAGUCAAAUUUAAAAUAAUCAUGUUUCAGUCUAUUAAAUGAAAACAUAUGUUAUACAUCCAGUUAUGUAUUGUGAAAAAUGGAGAGAGAUUCCACUAAAGGGAAGUCAAAUCUAGUACAAAGAAGGGAGUAUAAAUGAGAUAUUUUGAGUUCGAAACUUUCCACUUACAUUUAAAAAAUUCCUUAAAGUCACCCAAUUGAUAGGUUGCAAUUUUUGUUAUUAAAUUUAUGAAUGUUCUCCCCUUGUUUUUAGUCAAAUAUUGCAUUAAUUGGUUGAUUCUACUUAUAUUUAGUAAUUGGUUAUGGUUGUAGGGAUCUAAAGUAAAAAGAAAUUAAAAAUGUAAUUAUUAAUGGAACUUCUAUUCAAAUUAGCAUGGACCCAUCAAAGUCUAACUUUGUAUAUUUGGAAAGUUUGGAAUUUGACACGUGGUCUCUAAUUUUAAAUUGAAGUCGCAAUAAUCAAACUUUUGACCAAUAGAUAGUCUUUCUAUUUUUAUUAGGGGGAAAAUGGCCAAUUUCGUCCCUAUACUUUUUUAUAGUGUCAAUUCAGUUCCUAUAUAAUUUUUUUGGCCAAUUUGAUACCUAUACUUAUUUUGCGGUACCAAUUGAGGAACGCCGCAGUGGCUUCACCAUGUAAAUUCGAUUAACCUAUUAAUUGAGCAACUAAGCAGGGGUAUUUCGGGCACUUCACUGCUUCUUCAUUUUUCACCUUUUCUUCUUCAUCUUGCUUAUCACCAUCCACAGAAGCCAUAGCCGGAGUAGCAGAUCCGUCUCACUCCAACUCGAGGAAAGAUGCCGGUGACGUACGCGAGACCAGGCUUUCAGUAGAGUCCUCAAAUACACAAGAAGGAAUGUCAUUUUCAUUAUGUGGCUGGGAAACCGCCAUUGAGCUAGACUGAUUAUUAUAUUCAUGAUUGACAUUAGAACACUUCUCAGAUGCAUUUUGAUCAACCAUGGCCCUAGCUUCAAAUUCAAGUCAUUUUGCUUCAUAGGCUCUUGAAGCUUCCUUUACAAAUGACGUGCUCAGGGUAUACAUAUAAUAUUAAGCUCAUCUAAUCAAGUUUUACAUUUACAAACUCCUAAAUACCCCACAUGCGAUUUAUCGCAAGUAUACGAAUCGUGAGCGAGUAUAGGGUAUUAAGGGUCGAUCCCACAAGGAAGAUUGCAAUUACCGGCACUACUAUAGCUUCUCUAUUAUUUAGACUAUCAGUGAAUUAUAACAAAUUAAACCUACUGAAAUUAUACAAAAUAACAAAUGAAAGCUCCUUACGUUGUGGUAUCCCUAACUACUCAUGCAAGUGCUAUAUUUAGAUCAUUGAGUACUACUAUCAAGGCUAGUUAUGGUGUAAUUUGCUUAAACAUGUGAAACCUACUUUCGAAGUGAAUCAACUAUACUUAUAACUAAUCCAUACAUAUUCUCAUGGUUAUGAAAUUAGCUACAAGUUCAUUUCUUCAGUGAAAUUACAUGAAAUCAAUCACUAAAACCACAUAGAUGCACCUCUACUUUCGUGAGUGUACUCCCUAUGUUUAGCACUUCUUGAACUAGUGAUAAAUCUCAACUUUCAUUGCAGAAACAACACCUUAGAUAAUCACAAUUAAUGGUACCAGAUUAAUCAUGAUUUAAAGAGCCAAAGUGCUAAAUAACUUGCUCAAAUCAUAGCAAUCAAAUAACCAAAUAAUAAACACUAACAAUCAUAGAAAGUUCAACCAAACUCAAGGCAUAAACUUUAAAGAUACAUAUUAAACACAAAAUCCAGAACUUGUAUAUUAACCAAACUUAAGAAUUUGAUACAAAAGAUAAAGAGUUGGAGAAGAGAUAACCCAUGUCACUUGAGUUUCAACUCCUCCAUCUUCAUCUUCAUCUCCAUAUUCAUCCUAAUCUAGCCAAGACACAAGAAUGGAUGAUCUAUACCACUCUACACUAAGCUAAACUAACACUGACAGGUGCCGAACCUGUGCAAUAAUAAUUACUUAAAAGUCCUAACUACCACCACAAUUAAUUAUAGAGCAAAUCCAAGUACUAGAGCAGGGACCCUAGGUGUGCAAUGGGUUACUUGAUUCACCCUGUUCCCGAAGAGUUUGUUUGAUCCGAUAUACCAGAUUUGUCUAUACAAAUAUUAAUUUUGCGUACAAUGGCAAGUAGGGUCGAUUCCACAGGGAGCGGAUAGGAAAUUAUUUCUUUCCAAACCAAUAGAAUAAAUUGGGGGAUUUUUAAUGGGAGGCAAAUAAAAAAAAAUAAGAAUAAAAAUAAAGCAAACUAAGUUCGAAACUAAUUCACAAAGCACAAGUUAAUAAAAGUAGCAAUUAAUAAAAUUCUACCCAAAGGAUCAACUGCUCAGGUACGGUCCAAUUAAAUGAUCAUCGAUGCAAAGAUAUUUCAUCCAUUCAUCAUUAGGUUGGUUAUAGUUAUCAACAAGCUCUAACAACCAGUUCUUCCUUACCUUUUCGACAGUCAAGGUACGACCAUUGACUGCUUCUCUAACCAGAUAACAACUCUAGGUACGACCGUAGGAAUUUAAUUACCCAAUUGCAUUAAAGUUAGAAGAACCCAACCCUAACUAAUAAACACGCUAAGAGGAUUUAUUUAAGUUAGAUCUUACGUUUUCCCAACAUAAAGCCAAUUAUGGUGGUUGUCACUAGGUAUCAACUAAACGAACAAUUACGGAUUCAAUUUAGUUAAUGUGACAGUAGGCUAUUAAAUUAAAUCAAAUACCCGGCCGUUGAUAUUCAAUUAAUAAAAUACCCAUGAACAAUUAAGCCAGGAAACGCACGAAUAGCAGUAAAUUGGAAGAAAUAAUGAAGAUUCGAUUAGAUCUCACAGAUAUUAUGGACCGCGCCCUCACGUCAACCUUUGGGUAGAGGAGAAAAUUAGCCGCUCCUCAUCGCGUCAAUCCCGCGUGAUUUAAUUGAGUUCAUUCAAUUAACUGCCGAAGAAUUGGGAAGGUAAUUAUUUGAAGGAACAACCGAGGGGGCCCUGAUUUCGCAUUCGUUUUGGAGCCGCAAUCUCAAAGCAGAGAGCCACGAAGAAUUGUCACAGGCGGAAGGAACGAAUUCAAGAGUCAGAGUCGCAUAAAGCCAAAAACUACAGAAAAGAAGAAAGUCUCCAAUGUCUGACCCAAAGCCGCAGAAGAAACAAAAGAAAAACGUCUAACCCCAAAAAUUGCAAAAAGUAAAACUAAAGCUAAAAGAAGUGAUCCCCCCGAAUCUUGCUUUUUCCUUCUUUUUAUAUCCGCCGUCAGUAGUAUUCCUCCCAGGAGGAGGCUUUUGCCAAAGGGGCGCUGAUCCCACGCUUCAGGUUCACGUGGACCGAGGUCCGGCUUUUCGGUAACGUCUACCUUGUCUGGCGUGGCCACGCCCUGAAAUGAAAGGUCUUCUGGAAAUUUACCUCGAGAUAUCAUUUUUAAUGCUAACCACCUACAAUUCACACAAAUAUAAAAAAUGAGCGAAAUUCCAUUUCUUAGCACCAUGAAUAGCCAAAAUUAGGACAAGAUGACAAUGCAAAAUGUGCCAAAUAACUGUUCUAUCAAAUCCCCCCACACCUAGACAAUACUUGCCCUCAAGCAUUUCGGAGCUCAGAAGUGCAACCGAGAGAGCAAAGGUCAUGCAAUAAACUAUACUAACACAAGCACCUCAGAUCCCUGACCGUGUCGCCAAAAUGAGAAUACACCGGACAGGUUGUAAGUCAAAGAAAAUAUAUGAAUACUAGGGACGCUCAAAUCAACAUCACGGAAUGCCAUUACCAUAGGCUUGCACAUUUAUCGCAUCUCCACCACUCAAAAGUAAACUAAAUACAUAAAUCAAAGGACUUCGAUAGGGUUGUAAUGGGGUUCAGGUGAAAGGUGGGAUAAGAAGGUAAAAAUAGGGGAUAAUGAGUCAAGAGAAUGUCCGAAACCCACCAUAUCAAACAAGGCAGUUUUCAUUUGCUGUACACACUGUGCAAGUGUCGCGAAUUUUUUUUUCUCUUUUUUUUUUCUUUUUUAGACGGCUUGCAAGGCGUGGGCACGCCUUGUAGGCUGGAGUCUUCUGUUCACAAGCCUCUUUUUUUUUUCCGAUCUCAGAUAUACAGGAACAUCACCAUACAGCAUCUACUCUGAAACACUUGCGACCAUAGAUUUAUUUGCCUUGUAUAAGUAAUGAAUUUUAGACAUACCUUUACAACACAGGGGUGAACAAGAAAGUCUAAAGAGGUCUUGGGUGCUCACAUAGAUGACAACAACUCGACGGAUACAAGCUCAAAUUGGUUCACUAUUGGAAGAUAGGAUGGGGGCUUGAUUUUGAGACAGCUAAAGAGGGUUGAAUCCUAAAUGCCCUCUUCAUUUUCAAUGCAUCUAGUUCAACAAAAUAUAGCCUUGACAUGCAUAAAAUAGCAAAUUCUAGAAUGCCAAUACCAUGUGUGAUACCCACUCAAUCAAACAAAAAUAAAGCAAAUAAGAAUAGUGUGCUCAUACAUGGCUCAAAAGCUCACAAGAGUUUCCAAGAAUGGGUCAAGUCCCGUAUACUCAAUAUCUAACAACACAGUCAAGGGAAGACAAAAAUGCAUAGCUAGUAUAAUUAACCACACACCCAAGCACUGUGAUUGUAAAAUUCAUCAUAGCAAACAAAAAGUCAACUAACUACCCCCCUUUUCUUUUUUUUUCUUUUUUUUUUUUUGUAGAGAGAAAUAAUAGAAACCAUCCCCCCCACACCUAAAACCUACAUUGCCCCCAAUGUAGCAAGGAUAAAUAAAGUGCAAAGAAAAAUGGAGCAAAACUUCCCUGACUACUGGGGCGGUGCAGCGAGAGCCUAAGGAGGCGGAGGAUGUGGUGGUCGGAAUCCAAUAUGAGCAUAGAAAGCCGCUUGAUUCUCUGUCUGAAUACGGGCGAAUACCUGUAGUGCUCUAAGACGGUCCUCUAGUCCAUCAACUCGCCCCCCUAGCGCAUGGAUAGACUCAUGGAGAGAGUGAUAUUGGGACUCCCAAGCAGGGGGAGCAUGAUAGGAGGACGGACCCGCCUGAUCCGGAUGGGGUGGAGAGUCAGUGGAGGGUGCAGUUGGAGGCACCCGAGGUCGUGGCCCGCCCUCGCCAGGGGGCGUAAAUUGAUAGGCAUCCCCCACCUUGAAAAUAAUCCCCAUCCGCUCCAAACUGCGCAAAUCCAGAGGCUCAAUUUCCCGAGCUAGAGCGAAGUUGUGCGGUUUGUCGAGGUCAAGCAAACCCAAUCGAAUGGCCAAGUGGGUAAUGAGUGAGCCCACAAUGAUCGGUUUAUUGCGCUUCUGGAUGACUGUUUGCAUUUGAGUGGCUACCCAACAUCCAAAAUUAACCGGAACAUUGUUGCGCAUGCACCAAAGGAAAUAAAAUUCUGCCUUGGUAAGAGUGCCGGAAGAAUCUUUCCGCCCCGAGAAAUUGAUAGCCAGGAACCUGUGGAUGACCUUUAAGACCGGAUCCUUCAAAUGAGAGGCCUUGGACUGACUCGGAUUGUAAACUUGACGAUCUGUGGACCACUCCCUCCAAAUGUCAAUGUGGUCAGUCGAAAACGGUCGGGUGUAGUCACACGCACUGUUUAUAUAUGCUCCGGAAGCAAUGGUACCCUCACCAACAAACCCCAAAGUUAGAUUAAACUCAUUAAUGGACAUACCAUACUGGAUCCCUCUUAGUCGAAAUUUAACAAUCUCCGGCUCAUCCAGAGUGAUGAAUUCAUUGACGAUGAACUCGAAAGUGGAGAAGAAUUCACAACACAGCUCCUCAAACGUAGGGUAAUCAAUGGUCAGGUACUUCCCCCAACCUAUUGCCGAGAACAACUGUUCAACUUCUCGCGCAAUUUGCAAAUGGUCCAGGGUUGGAGCAUGGAAACACUUACAGGGGGCAAAAGGACGGUGGACCAAGUUAUUGAACCGGUCCUGUUGCGGCCUUGUAAGGUUAGUGACCGGUUCCCCCCAUUCCCCAGGAGACAUAGUGCUCUUAUUCAGACCCAAACGGGACCGAAUGGGGGGUUGAACCGGUGCUCGCCUCUUACGAGGUUGGGACCCAGAUGGCCCAGCAAUUGUUGCCUGUUUCGGGGGCAUUCGGAUACCACAGGCAAGGUGUAAAUCAGCCCAGAGACAGUUAAUCAAUUACCCAAAAGCAAACAGGGGACCACACUUAACAGUUAAUAUGCAACUACAGUCGUCUAAUAGCAAAGAGGGAACACAAUUACCUCAACAACCAACGACAAGUCAACAAACACAAGAAUUCCCUACUGGCGUCACGUGGUAGACAACAAUAAAGAAAACAGCACCAACACCUCAAAAAUUGCACUAGCAGUCAAUAAUAGUCAAUAUCAAAAACACCAGAGCCCACAAAUGUAUCCCAAAUUGAUAAUCAACAAAAGGCAGAUAUGACGUCUCCCACGUCCAGACAACAGUCAAAUGGUCCCCCAACCAAAAUCAACAGGUAUGUCAACCCGACAGGAGGCAAAAAUUUAGCAAUUAAAAGUCCCAAAUCGAAGUCAUUAAGUCAACAAGAGAGGCAAAUAGGGGUACCACUUUUACUCUUGGUCCACGCUGGAGAGGAAAAUGGCGGAGAAAAGAGAGCUGGUGGCUGGUCGGGUGCACGGGCUGAGCGUGGAACAGGCGCGGUGGUCGUGCGCAGGCAGGGGGUCGCGCGCGAGGGCACGCGCUGAGGACUCGCACACAGGCAGCUGGUCGCGCGCUUGGCUCACGGGCAGCCGUGCAGGAGGUAAUCAGCGCGCUGCUGGGGCUGCUCGCGCGCUGUGGAGGUCGCGCGCUUGGCUGAGCGUGCCUGUUGCUGAGGAGAGCAGGGGUUGUGCUGCGCAGGUAGCUGGAUCUGGGCGUAGGCGUACUGGGCUGCACAGGCGGGUGGUGGUACGACGCGAGAUGGGGGCCGCGCGGCGCUGAAGAGAGCAGAGGCGCGCGACGGCAGCAGCGGCGACGGCUUGACCAAAACAGGGAGAAGGAGUUGUUGCAGCGUAGCAAAAAGAAAUUUGGAGGAUAAAGGCCAAGACCGGUCAAAGAAGAAGGAAAAGUGGAAGAAGUAGGGUCUUGGUCAAUUUUUUUUUUUUUGACUUUCGCUAUCUGAAGGAUUAGAAGGCGUGGGCACGCCUUGGAGGACCUGGUCUUCUGACCAUCGCAUCCUAAUGAUACUCAAACGAAUUUUUUGUCAAGGCGCGGGCACGCCUUGGAACACCUAUUCUUCUGUCUAUCACUACAAAAACAAUCAAAACUGAAAAAUAAAACUGAAAAAUCGCGAAGUAAUGAAGAAUGAUCACAACUAAUACUGUAAUCCUUGGGUUGCCUCCCAAGCAGCGCCUUUUUUUAAUGUUUUUGGCUAGACAUGGCCUUCAAUUGUUUAGACUUCACCACUUUGAUUAUCAAGGAAUAGAACCUCCACUUGCUCACUAUUAAACCCUUCAUAAUAAAGCUUUAGAUGGUGACCAUUGACUACGAACCUUUUCUCUGUCUUAAGACUUUGGAUUUCCACUGCACCAAAAUGAAAAAUAUUAGAAACAACAAAUGGACCAAUCCAACGGGAACGCAGCUUACCAGGAAAAAGCUCAAGUCUCGAGUGAUAGAGUAGGACUUUUUGCCCUACGACAAAUGACUUUCUUGAAACUUGUUGGUCAUGAAAAAUUUUGCUUUUCUCCUUAUAAAUUGCAGCGUUCUCAUAAGCUUCAUGCCUUAGCUCCUCCAACUCUUGCAAUUGGAGCUUUCUCUGCCCUCCGGCCUCCAUAAGGUCCAUGUUACACUGUUUAAGCGCCCAGAACGCUCGGUGUUCAAAUUCCACUGGGAGGUGACACGGCUUACCAAAGACUAACCUGUAUGGGGACAUCCCAAUUGGUGUUUUGUAUGCGGUGCGGUAAGCCCAGAGAGCAUCUUCCAGCUUCAAGCUCUAGUCUUUCCUAUCAGGCCGCACCAUCUUCUCCAAGAUUGACUUAACUUCCCUAUUCGAUACUUCGGCCUGACCGUUCGUCUGCGGAUGAUAUGGAGUGGACACUUUAUGGAGCACGCCAUACUUACGAAACAAUGCAGUGAUUGUCUUAUUGCAAAAAUGGGUGCCCCUGUCACUCACUAUAGCUCUCGGCAUUCCAAAACGAACAAAAAUGUUAGAUUUUAUAAACUCUGCAACCACUCUCGAAUCAUUAGUCCGGGUGGCCUUCGCCUCCACCCAUUUGGAAACAUAAUCGACAGCAAGUAUAAUAUAUAGAAAACCAAAGGAUGAGGGAAAGGGACUCAUGAAAUCUAUGCCCCAGACAUCAAAAAUUUCAACAAAUAAUAUGGGGGUUUGACUCAUUUGGUCUCUACGAGAGAUAUUCCCCACCCUUUGACACUUAUCACAAGAUUUGCAGAACAAAUAUGCAUCCUUAAAAAGAGUAGGCCAAUAGAAACCACUUUCUAACACCUUACGAGCCGUCCGCUUUGGACCAAAAUGCCCUCCACAUGCAAAUGAAUGACUAAAGGUCAAAAUAGGCUGGAACUCACUUGCACUUACACACCUUCUUACCAUUUGGUCCGCGCAUUGCCUCCACAGGUACGGGUCAUCCCAGAUAUAGUGCUUGGCAUCACUCUUCAAUUUUUCUCUCUUAGCUUUUGACCAACCUGCAGGCAAUUGAUUCGUUACCAAAAAAUUGACAAUAUCAGCGUACCAAGGUAUUGACGAAUCCAUGGCUAAUAAUUGCUCCUCAGAAAAUGAUUCUCUCAACGGUAGAUCCUCUUGAUUUGUGAGCAACCGGCUCAAAUGGUCAGCCACCAAAUUCUCGGCCCCGCUCUUGUUCUUGAUCUCUAGAUCGAACUCUUGCAGGAGCAAGAUCCACCUGAUCAGCCUCGGUUUUGCAUCCUUCUUCGCCAGCAGGUACCUCAGGGCUGCAUGAUCAGAGAAAACAAUUACUUUUGCACCCAAUAAAUAUGAUCUAAAUUUCUCUAGUGCAAAAACGACUGCUAAUAGUUCUUUCUCCGUCAUGGAGUAAUUAGUUGGGCUCCACUUAAUGCUCUCGAUGCAUAGUAGAUUGCGUGUGCCGCUUUUCCUAUCCUUUGCCCCAACACGGCUCCCACGGCAUAAUCGCUCGCGUCACACAUGAUCUCAAACGAAAGGCUCCAAUCCGGAGGUUGAAUGACAGGCGGCGAUGUCAACGAUUCCUUUAGUUUAUCAAAAGCCAUCUUGCAUUCAUUGGUGAAAUCAAAUAUCACAUCCUUUUGCAGCAACUUGAACAGGGGUGCUCCAAUCUUUGAGAAAUCCUUGAUGAACCUCCUGUAAAAUUCUGCAUUGCCUAAAAAGGAACGUACUUCCUGUACACAAACGGGGUAAGGCAGAGCAGAAAUAAGAUCUAUUUUAGCUUUGUCUACCCCUAUCCCCUUAGCCGACACAACGUGCCCUAAGACAAUGCCAUGUUCUACCAUAAAGUGACACUUCUCCCAGUUAAGAACCAAAUUCGUCUCUAUGCAUCUUUUUAAAAUUAGAGCUAAAUUAUCAAGACAUUCAUCAAAACUAUUCCCGUAUACACUAAAAUCAUCCAUGAACACCUCAAUAAUUUUUUCUACAUACUCGGAGAAAAUACUUACCAUACACCUUUGAAAGGUUGCUGGAGCAUUGCAGAGACCGAAAGGCAUCCGACAGUAAGCGAAUGUACCGAAUGGGCAUGUGAAUGUAGUUUAUUCCUGGUCUUCUGGUGCUAUCGCGAUCUGAAAGUAACCUGAAAAGCCAUCCAAGAAACAAUAGUAAACACGACCCGCUAAUCGUUCUACCAUCUGAUCAAUAAAAGGGAGGGGGAAAUGGUCCUUUUUAGUCACAGAAUUUAGCCUCCGGUAGUCGAUGCACUGACGUCAGCCAAUAGCUUUCCUAACCGGAACCAUGUCACCCUCCUGGUUCUCCUCUACGGUUACUCCCGCUUUCUUCGGGACCACCGGAACUGGGCUCACCCAGGGACUGUCUGAAAUGGCGAAAAUGAUCCCUACCUCCAGGAGUUUGAGUAUCUCCUUCUUCACAACCUCCAUAAUUAAGGGAUUCAGUUUUCGCUGUGCUUGCUUCACCGGUUUUGCAUCAUUCUCGAGUCUUAUCCGAUGCAUGCACAAGGACGAGCUUAUCCCUUUUAUAUCGGCUAUGCUUCACCCGAUUGCCUCCUUGUGAUCUCUAAGGAGUCGCACCAGUCUUUCCUCCUGACUUAGAGACAGAUGAGCAGAGAUAAUCACAGGAAGUGUCUCUCUGUCUCCCAGGAAUACAUACUUCAAAUGCUUCGGGAGGGGUUUGAGCUCUAACUCCGGUGCCUGCACAACUAAAGGAAGCGACUUUGUCUGAGCCUCUAGCACAAAAAGAGAAGUAAGCUCGUGCCUUGGAGGUACGGUUGGAAGUGAGUGCAGGGCUUCAACUGUGUGGUGUAGCUCAUUCCUCAUGUCCACAUCAAGAGUCACACCCAACUCAAGAUACUUGGUUAGGGCCACUUCUAAUGCAUCUUCACCAUCCAAUUCAAAAGUUUCUUGCACAAACGGCUCAAUAACACUCAAAGCGAAGACUGAGUUAGAUUCCUCUGGAUAUUUCAUUGCCUAAAAAAUGUUAAAAUUCACAGUUUCACUAUCAAAUUCCAUUGAUAAAGUACCCCCAUUCACAUCUAUUUUGGUCCUGACAGUGCUAAGAAACGGUCUACUCAACAAGAUAGGCGAUGGAUUUAAUGAUUUCUCAUCUCCCAUAUCCAAGAUAUAAAAGUCUGCAGGAAAGACUAAUUCAUUUACCUGAACCAAAACAUCCUCAACUAGCCCCUCUGGAUAAGCAUUUGUGCGAUCAGUUAGUUGGAUUAUGAUGGCUGUUUCUUUUAGUGGCCCAAGGUUCAGAGAAGCAAAAAUGGUCUUUGGCAUCACAUUAAUUGACGCCCCUAAAUCUAACAUUGCUUUUCUAAUCGGUGUAUUUCCUAUUUUGCAUGGGAUCGUGAACAUACCUGAAUCUCCACACUUGGGUGGGAGAUUUCUUUGGAGAAUGGCUGAUACGUUUUCUCCCACCGCUACUCUUUCAUCCCCUCUCAAUUUCCUCUUAUGAGUGCAUAAGUCCUUGAGAAAUUUCGCGUAUUUCGGCACUUGCUUAAUUGCUUCUAACAAGGGGAUGUUGAUCUCCACUUUCCAGAAUACGUCCAGGAUCUCUUUUUCCUUCUCUGUCUUUUUCGUCUUUGCCAACCUGCAUGGGAAAGGGGGUAAAUUAGAUUUAACGGGUAUUGAUGGUGUACGAGUUAUCUCAGGAUCUCCACGAAUGUGUCAUUCUUCAUCCAUCUCCUUCUCGAUCUCGUCUUCACUUUUACUCUUCAAGUUCGUGACCUUUGGCCCCUCCACUUCCUUGCCACUCCUUAAUGUCAUGGCACUUACAUUUCUGGGGUUUGCCUCAGAUUGCGAUGGUAAUUUUCCAUAGACGUGGGACUCCAGGCGAUUAAUGGCAGUUGCCAUUUGACUCAUACGAGUCUCCAUGUCUUUCAUGCCUGUUUUGGUGUCAUGCUGGAACUGAGCUAUAUUCGAGGUCAAUAAUCUGGUCUCCUGCUGGAGCUAUCUUGUCUCUUGCUGGAUCUGGGAGGUAGUAGUAGCCAGACUUUUGACAAUAUCCUCCAAAGAACUCCCUGUGUUGGAGGAUGAAGGUUGGGGUUUCGGUUGCCAUGGUUGCUGAAACCCUGGUGGACGAUUGGAGAGUGAAUUUUGCGGUCGGUUUCCAUAACUGAAAUUGGGAUGGUCUCUCCAACCGGGGUUGUAUGUGUUGGAGUACGGGUCAUACUGCUUGAGGGGCGCGGGCACGCCUCCGGCCAUGUUUACCUGUUCCGCCCCGUCCUCUUGCAAAAUGGGGCACGUGUCCGUGCAGUGGUCCAUGCUAGUGCAGAUUCCACACACCUUUGCUUGCGGCGUGUCUCUCAUGGCUAAUUGCCUAACAACAGACGUCAACUCUGACAGUUGCUGCUGUAUGGAUGAAGUCUCUACCUCGUUGACUCUACGGGGAGGGUUGCUCUCACGGAAGCCAAAUUGCUGGAAGUUCUCUGCCAUGGCUUCGAUAAGCUCCCACGCUUCCUUCGGUGUCCUGUUUGCCAGUGCUCCCCCACUCGCAGCGUCAAUGAUACUCCUAUCGGUUGAUUGGAGCCCUUCAUAGAAGUAUUGGAUUAACAGUUGUUCACUAAUUUGAUGAUGCGGGCAUCUAGUGCACAACUUGUUAAACCUUUCCCAGUAUUCAUACAAGGACUCACCGGGAUACUGUUUAAUGCUGCAGAUCUCCUUCCUCAAACUUGCAGCCCGGGAUGCAUGGAAGAAUUUUUUCAAAAAUUUCUUUUUCAACUGUGCCCAUGUGGUAAUACUACCCGCUGGUAGGUAGUAUAGCCAAUCUUUUGCUGCAUCCUUGAGAGAGAAGGGGAAAGUUCUAAGUCUUAUCUGCUCCUCAGUGACCCCAGGAGGUUUCAUACUAGAGCAAACCGCCUCGAAUUCCUUGACAUGUUUGUGGGGUUCUUCACCAGAGAGACCAUGGAAAGAAGGUAAGAGGUGAAUCAACCCCGACUUCAGUUCGAAAGCAGUAUUCUCAGCCAAAGUGGGGAAUGUGAUGCAUAAGGGCUGAUGAGUUAGCUCCGGGGCAGCCAGCUCCCUUAAUGUUUGAGUGUUGGCCAUACUUACUUCAUAUUCUACUGACUCGUUUGCAAUAAACGAGUGCCCUUCUUUUCGUCUCUUGGUCUCUUGGCUCCGCCUACGCGCUAUCUUCUCAACCUCAGGGUCGUAUAUCAAUUCACCUGUGCGAGAAGAACUAGGCAUAAACUAGUAAAAAUACCAAGAAGAAUAAAAAAAAAAUGAAAGCUGAAUUUGAAAAGAAACAAAUAAUCCAAACGCCAGCUCCCCGGCAACGGCGCCAAAAAUUAACAGGUGCUGAACCUGUACAAUAAUAAUUACUAAAAAGUCCUAACUACCACCACAAUUAAUUAUAGAGCAAAUCCAAGUACUGGAGUAGGGACCCUAGGUGUGCAAUGGGUUACUUGAUUCACCCUGUUCCCGAAGAGUUUGCUUGAUCCGAUAUACUAGAUUUGUCUAUACAAAUAUUAAUUUUGCGUACAAUAGCAAGUAGGGUCGAUUCCACAGGGAGCGGGUAGGAAAUUAUUUCUUUCCAAACCAAUAGAAUAAAUUGGGGGAUUUUUAAUGGGAGGCAAAUAAAAAAAAAUAAGAAUAAAAAUAAAGCAAACUAGGUUCGAAACUAAUUCACAAAGCACAAGUUACUAAAAGUAGCAAUUAAUAAAAUUCUACCCAAAGGAUCAACUGUUCAGGCACGGUUCAAUUAAAUGAUCAUCGAUGCAAAGAUAUUUCAUCCAUUCAUCACUAGGUUGGUUAUAGUUAUCAACAAGCUCUGACAACCAGUUCUUCCUUACCUUUUCGACAGUCAAGGUACGACCAUUGACUGCUUCCCUAACCAGAUAACAACCCUAGGUACGACCGUAGGAAUUUAAUUACCCAAUUGCAUUAAAGCUAGAAGAACCCAACCCUAACUAAUAAACACGCUAAGAGGAUUUAUUUAAGUUAGAUCUUACGUUUCCCCAACAUAAAGCCAAUUAUAGUGGUUGUCACUAGGUAUCAACUAAAAAAACAAUUACGGAUUCAAUUUAGUUAAUGUGACAGUAGGCUAUUAAAUUAAAUCAAAUACCCGGCCGUUGAUA
Molecule: long non-coding RNA, 78483 nt
Filed under: Coffea arabica (coffee)
Lineage: Eukaryota; Viridiplantae; Streptophyta; Magnoliopsida; Gentianales; Rubiaceae
Description: long non-coding RNA (CARA_LNC004105)
Rfam family: Plant small nucleolar RNA R71 (bases 76974-77080)
Source: RNAcentral